Molecule: long non-coding RNA, 48500 nt
Filed under: Salvia miltiorrhiza (redroot sage)
Lineage: Eukaryota; Viridiplantae; Streptophyta; Magnoliopsida; Lamiales; Lamiaceae
Description: long non-coding RNA (SMIL_LNC011427)
Source: RNAcentral
CUGUGCGUCGGUGAGGCGGAGGAAGGUGGAGUCCGACGGGAAAUGGGCGUCGCCUUGGUAGGUGAGGUCGGUCGGCUGGUCGCCCCAGAAGUCGUAGGUGAAGGACGUCGAUUGGGACUGCGCCACGUUGGCGGCGGCGAGGAGUAGGGCGACGGAGGAGAGGAGAGGAAUUAGGGUUUGGAGAAGCUUGGCCAUUGCUUAAUUGAUUUGGAUGUGGUGGAUGAUGGUGAUAUGUCUUAAGCUUGCACUCCUAUAUAUACUAGUGUAGUUCAUGCAUGAUAAUGUUGUUUAAUCAUCAUAUAUUUUAUUUCAUUAAAAUGAAUCACCUCGUCCAUUCGAGGUAAAUGAACCAUGUGAUCUUAUGUACUACCAGCCACAUUUUAAUUUGCUCGUUGGAAUAUUAUCUAUAGUUGUAUCUAUUGUAUUUGUAUAAAUGAUUUUUGGAAGGGAACUUAGAAAAAGUUCUUGAUAGGGGCUGUAUUUUUUAAUUUCAAGUGCAAAAUUAAGUUUUGAUAGACAAUUUACUUAUGAUUCAAUUUAACGAUCGGGUUUUCUGAAAAAAAAAAAUUCACACAAAAAAUCGAUUAUUUAAUAAUUUUAUAAGAAAAAAGAAGAAGAAGAAAUUUUCUAUUUAGGAUAUACACGAGCAGAUGAGAUCCUCUGUCCCACUAUUUUGUGUGUACCACCAUGUACCAUUCUUAAUUUAUUUAUUUUAGUAAUUAUUUUUUAUAAAAAUAAAAAUUAUUAUUAUAUUUUUUAUUUUCAUUUAAGUGAGUUACUAGAUUUAUUUGGGGUGAGCACAGGUUAUUUUGGAAAAGGAGAAUAUCUGUAAGAUGAUGUGAAAAUUAUUCAAUAUAAGCACAUAUAGGGGUUGAGUUCUCAAAGGAACUUAAUUAAUAUCCAAUGUGAUUGAUACAUUUCGACUAAAUGGAUGGACUGUGACGCCCCGACCAAAAGUAAAGAGUGAUUGUGAUCGGUGCACAAGGCAUGGAUGAAAAGCGGUUCCUAGUAAUGCUUCGAUACGGAGGAUACAUGAAUGAAUCGAAACACACCAGAAAGAGAGGGAUUCCAUGAGUACGUACGCAGGUAUAUGACUGCAUAUUCGAGGAGCUUAAAUAAUUUUAUUGGUGUUACUCAUAUCAACAAGAUGCAUCUUCUUUUUUGGUGACCAUAUGAAAUAAACUCCAAGGUUAAGCGUGCUUGGCGUAGAGCAACUUGAUGAUUGGUGACCUCCCUAAGAAGUUUAUCAGAAAGCGUGCUAGUAAGAACAAAACAUGCUAGAAAAGACUCAUAUUAGUCUGUGGGGACAGCCGUUAAAUUUGGAUUCGGGUCUUUACAAGUGGCAUUAGAGAUUAACCUCUCACAGUAUGGUGCGGUUCGGGAACGAACCAAGCGGAAGUUGGUACUCAAUAUUCCAUCUAUUGUGAGUUUCUUUGUCUUCUUCAUCUUUCUUUUACUCUGCUGUCGAGUUUCAGAGAGUAAUCAGAUAGGUUUUCAUUCGAGUUGAGUUUCUUGAGUGAUAAACUGUUAAUUGUGAGUUUCAUUCGAUCAUUUGUUGAUUAUAAAUAUCUGCACAUGGAUAUUGGUCAAUUUAGAUACACUGAUCUUCAAAUUGAUUGACGAAUCUUUAGAAUUCAAAAUUUAAAUCAAAUACGCGUGUUCAUAGUUAAUUGGUAAGUACACUUUUUUUUNAUAUAAAUAUAAUUGACUCGAGAUCUCUGCUACUUACGCAUACUUCGCUCGAGACAAAAAUAAAUAAUUGAUCAUUGAGAACUCCGCUACCACACCAUACUCGUGUACUAUUUAUCAUUGUUUAUGAUUAUUAAUAAAGACGUGUCUUUGCCUGAUAAAUUUAAUUUUCAUACUCUUGAUUCUUUUUUGGCCAUAUCAUUUUUUAAAAAAUUGGGAGGGGAAUGGUGGAAAUUGAAUAUGAAAAAUACCAGUCAAAUGAUACAUGUGCACUUUCAAAGACAAAACAUAAAUGUAACCUUCGUUUGUAAAACAUAGAAAUUCUACCAUAUAUUUGUGAUUAUUUUACCUUUAUACGAUCUAUUUAUAUAUAUUUAUUAGAAUUAAUAAAAAUAUACUACAUUCGUCCACGAAAAAGAAUCUCAUUGUGUGCUGGAUGUGAGUCGUAUCGAGAGUGAGAGGGAACACAUUGUCUCCGGUCUCUGCCGUCUUGGCGAGAUCUUCGGCAUUGGCCUGAUCCGGCCGCUGAGGUGGCCGGUAGGUCAUCCAUGGAGUAUGGCUAUAUUCAUACUCGUAUCCCAUUUUGGUUGUAGAACAAGAAGGCGGUGUUGUUGAAAUCGUCGUCGUUGAUAUCCUUUGGAAAACCGGCUGGGAUAGUUUUCGCCAUUAGAGUGAUGUGCGUAGAAGAGAGGAUCUUCCGGCGGUCUUCGCGGAAACCGUUGUCGCGUGUCCAUAGUUCAUGGAUUGAAAAUAUGCAGGUAAAGCACCCGGCGUACUCGGCCAUACAAUUAACUCGCCAUCAUGAGCUAUAAUUCUAUUCGAGUAAGUUCAAUCUCUAAUGAAUUAAUAUAUUUUUAUAAAUAUAUAAUUUGCAAAAUAACCUUAAAAUAAAAUAUGUAAUAAGGGUAAAAUAGGCAAUCCACAUGUUGUGCUCAAUGCUCUUUUUAUAUUACUAGGAGAAAGAUAAUUAAUGUUAUUUUAUCUAAUAAAAUAAAAAAUAUAAAUAUAAUAUUUAUUAUAUUUAAAUUUUUAAUUAACAAUUUUGUUUAUUUAAUUCUCUUAUCUCUUACAAUAUUUUUUUUUAGAAAAUCUAUUAGUUCAUUACUUCGACUAAAUAUAAUUUAUUGGAUAGAUAUAUUUAUUUAUAAGCCUUAUCAAUAGCUAUAGAUAUAUAUUACAUAGAUUUAAUGUAAUAUUUAAUGAAUCAAUAGCUCUUUUCUUUUAUAUUAGUAUAGAUUAUAUAGAUAGAUAUAUAUAGUGCAUGCAUGAUAAUGUUGAUUGAUCAUCGUAACUAUAUAAUUUAUUGCACUAAUAAUGAAUCACGUUCCCACUCGAGGUAUAUAAAAUGAAUCAUGUGACCUUUUCUACUACCCGACACAUUUUGCUCCUUGGAAUAUUAUUUAUAAUUGUGUCUAUUGUAUAGUGCAUGCAUGAUAAUGUUGUUUAAUCAUCAUAAAUCUUCAUGGCUCAUCCACCUCAUCCAAUCGAAGCAUAUAAUGAACCAUGUGAUCAUAUCUACUACCUGACACAUUUUGCUUCUUGGAAUGCUAGCUAUAAUUGUAUCUAUUGUGUGAAUGUAAGCAAAAGGGCGCGCACAAUUUUUUAUUUUUUUUUGGAUAGGUGACUCGCUCAAAAUACCUAUUGAAUUGACUCGUAAUCGCACGAGGUCAUUCUAGCGUAGUAAGCUAACCCAUGUCGUAUCUCACAAGGAAGAUUAAGCAGGACGACUAAUUUUGGAUUAUUUUUAAUCAAAUGUUGGAUAUUUUUUAAUUAGAGUAAAAUUAAAAUAAGUAAAUUAUUGUAUAUUUUCAGAUUCGGAAACUAAUGGCUUUAUUUUAAUUUAAUCAUUUUCAUAUGUCAGUUAUAUUAUGUAAAUGACGUUUUUAGUAACAAACAAAUGACAUUUUAAUCAAUAAAUGAUACUUUUAUCAAUAAUAAAUGAAACCAUAUUAAGGUAAAUAGGGUAAAGGUUAGACUUAACUGUGAAAGCAUCAUGAGUUUUAUGUGUAACAUUUUCGGUGUGAAAAUUGAUGAGUUAAAAAAAAUGCUCCAUAUUGAAUUCGACAUUAGAUGAAUCUACAGUAGAUUUUCAUGCAUGAUCUAAGAGCUGAAAAUGAUUCACGGUCUAUAUUUAUUCUAUCAAAUUCCAUAUCACUUUAAAUCUCAAAUUACAUUUGCACUAUAUAUGAUUAUAUCCUAAAUUAUCAUAAAUAUGAACCGCUUAAAUCUGGCGUCGUUGCACCGCGGACAUCUUGCCGCUGCUUUCUCCCACCAUUGCCCUUGCUGCCCUCAUCUUAGGUGCCAAUUUUUUGCUCGUCGUGCAGAAUUUGAAAGGGGUAAAUUAUUUUUUCAAUUUUUUAUUGCAUUUUGCUGUCUAAGUUGAUUUCUCAAGUAAAGUGGACUUGGGUUUUGUUUCGAUUAUAGCUGAAUUCGAUGGCGCUGUGUGGUUAGAUCUGUAAUUUUGACGUGUUGUUGAAGUGUGCGGGAUUGAAUGUGAUCUGGGAGAAUUUAAGGGUUUUGGGACGUUAGUAUGAUGAUGGUGGGAUUUGAAUGAAUUUGAAUACCAGAUUAUGGUUGAUGUUUAAUUAUGUGAAUCUUGCGAUCUGUGUUGAAAUUAAUGUACAGUAUCUUCGCCUAGCCGGGGGUUCACCAUUUGGUUCCCGACCGUCCUGCUGCCUUCACUCCACACUCAAGUGCCAAUAUCUUCUUCUCGUUUCUCUUCCUUCUUCUUCUCCUCUUAGUACCUGCAAGACAGAAGGAAAAACCAGCAAGUAUAAAGAAAAAUCAGAAAACUUAAAGAAGUAAAGAAAGAAAGAAAACAAAGGAAACUCGAGGUGGGAAAAAGGUGUCCUCGGGACACAGGUGGCUCAGAUUUUUCCCACAGUGGCAACACACUCCGGCAGCUCAAAGACCACGGCACAAAGGGGAAGGGAAGUCAGAUCGGAGCUCAAAUCUGACGAGCACAGCCACCAAUAAUCAGGAAUCCGGUGGACAGGAUUCCGGCGGCUCAGAAAUCCUUCGCUUUAUCACCAAACAGGAAAUCUAAGGUCAGCAAUCCGACAAUAAUGCUAUCAACAGGAGGAAGCUCUCACUUUACGGCCACAACACCGGAAACCAGAACGGAAACCAGAGAACAGAAGGAAUAGCAGAGCCUUCAAGGUUGUGAACAUACUACAGAACUUCCCCCAAUCGAUUGCUUUAUAACCGAGACAGAGAAGGGUCGGGAAGAUGUAGUGGGCUUUGGGAAGGAGGAGGAAGCCAUUAAUGGUGGUGGAGCUCGAGGGAAAGCGAGAUCAGCAGUCGUGAAGACUUAGGGUUUGGGAGGGGAUUUGAGGUGGAGCGGCGGAGGUUGAAAUGAGGGAAAGGCCGAGUGAGAGAGGGAGUAUUUCAGUGGAUAAUGGGCUAGGGUAUUUUUGAGUUAACGGGCUAUAGGUGUCUGGGCCCAAAAGUUGGGCCAGAGAAGGGAUAAAGAGCAUUGGGCCAACAUUCCACAAUUAAGACAAUUAAGAGUAGAAAUUCUUCUUGAUUUGCUAAUUUAUUUAGGAUUAGCGAUAUUAGUUUGGAGUUUUAGAUGUCGAUUGAUUUCGUGAUCUUGAUUUAUGUGAUAAAUGCCUCUCAUCACUAAGAUUUGGAAUAUAUUGGAUAUCUAGGAUAGUGAUAUUAGUUUGGAGUUUUAGAUGUUGAUGUGUCUUUUUAGGCUGCGUUUACUUUGAUGGAUAAAUUUAUAUAUGGAAAAGGAUGGAUAACACAAAUUUAUGCUUUUAAAUGUCUCCUUCCUCUUCCAACAUUUGACACAAAAAGAGAUGCUCGCUAUUUUUUCUUCCUUAUCUUCACUUCAAGGAUGGAUAAUAUUAUCCCUCCAUUUUGGUGUGAUAAUAUUAUCCAUCAUUGAAGUGAAGAUAAGGAAGGAAAAAUAGUAGAGCAUCUCUUUUUGUGUCAAAUGUUGGAAAAGGAAAGAGACAUUUAAAGGCAUGAAUUUGUGUUAUUCAUCAUUUUCCAUAGAUAAAUUUAUCCAUCAAAGUAUACGAAGCCUUAUGUGAUAAAUGCUUUUUUAGGGGGGCCCACGGGCAUGCUGCCCCAUAUGCUAUGGAGUAUGGACCAUGGUGGCUCGGUCACUGCGCUCUCGAUUGCGAAUUAUUUUGCAUUAUCUUUGUUUGUUUUUCUUAUAUUGGGAAAGAAAACAUAGAGUAAUAUAUAUUUUAGAAGUCCAGUUACCAAUGUCGUCAAUCUCGAGUGAAAAUAAAUAUUACCAUAACACAAAAAUGACAAAGCUAUUGAUUAGUGACGAUAUGUUAGAAGUUCAGAUAAACAACACAUUUAUUCUUGUGUAUAUUAUAUUAACGUUUAUUAUAUAUUAUAAAAAGAACAUAUUCUUUCAAAAUUAUCUUGUCUAUUUUUAGAAGUUCAGAUAAACAACACAUUUUCAGAAGAAAUUUAAUAAUCUCUUACGAUUUACAUAUAAUUUUUAAAUAAUUAAUUAUCUCAGUGGUGAUAAAAUAAAAAAACGAAGUAAUUUAUUAUAUACAAAAUAUUAUGAUUUAUGUUUGUAUAUUAUUUGUUUCCAUUAGUGCAUUAUCAUUUCUAAGUAUCUUCUCACUUGUUCACUGAUUCACUAUUGGAUUAACAUGAAUAUACGAAUUUCAUAGUAUACCAACCGUUCGAUAAAAGUCCUCAAAGAAAUCUUCCAUAGAUAACCUUGCAAAAGUACGUGUAUCUAUAUUAAUAGAAUAAGAGCCUAAGGAAUCUUAAAACACAAUUUUUGGAUUGCCUAUUUUACCACUAUUAUAUAUUAUUUUAAAAUUAUUUUACAUAUUAUAUAUUAAUAGGAAUAUAUUAAUUCAUUAGAUAUUACACUAAAUCUAUGUGAUAUAUUUCUAUAGCUAUUGAUAAGGCUUAUAAAUAAAUAUAUAUCCAUCUAAUAAAUUAUCUAAUAAAAGUAAUGAAUUAAUAGAUUUUUUAAAAUAAUAAAUUAUCAAAUAAAAUAACAUUAAUUACACACGUACGUUCUUUCUGCUAGCUAGUUAAAUAAAAAGAAGAAGAAACUGAGACUGAAAAAGGGAGAAUUAAGAUAGUCCAUUAUUAUCGUCUUAUUUUUAGAACUUAAACGAGAGAAAAGUCCAUCGCUAGUCCUAAUUUACAACACAACACAACACAUGAUAAUAAAUUUAAAUCACACAUAUUGCCGGAUGUACCCUUCCUCCUCUUUGCCGGCGGCGGCAUGCACGAGGGUGGACGUGAAAUACCACGAGACGAUGUCGUGCACGGCGUCUUGGCCUCCGGUGGCCGCGGAGAUCCCGACCUGAACCUGCUGAGGAAGAAUGGCGCUCAGGUCGUACACAUAGCUCACCUCGUAUGUUUGCGAGCCGGCGGCGAGGCUCACGCUGAUCAGCUUAGUGGCUUCCAGGUAGUUGAUGCGCGCAGUCACCUGCUGCCCGAGCAACGCGUUGCCGACGUUGGUCACGUUUUUGGAAACAUUAGAUUCGAUGUCGAUCCCGAUAUGGCGAUAGCUAGGAUCCACUCCGGGGUUGGAGAAGACGUCGAAUUCCACGGCGAAGACGGCGGGGCCGACGCCGGAGGAGUUGAAGAUUCCGAAGCAGCCGCCGGUGAAGCCGAGGGGUAAGCCGACGGGGGCGAUGAAGAAGGUCACGCCGUCGGCGGGGUUCGUGUCGCCUGCGUUGGGGGUUACGGCGAACGUCAGGGUGGUCUCGAAGUCGACCUGCGCGCCGGCCUCCCAGAACGUGAUCGGGGCUGAGUACACGGCCCGGCCGACGCUGUACUGGACCGCGCUGCCGGAGCUGGUGGUGUUGGUCAUGCGGAGGAAGGUGGAGUCCGACGGGAAGUGGGCGUCGCCUUGGUAGAGGAGAUCGGUCGGCUGGUCGCCCCAGAAGUCGUACGUGAAGGCUGUCGAUUGGGACUGCAUGCGCCGUGUUGGCGGCGGUGGCGAGGAGGAGGGCGAUGGAGAUUAGGGUUUGGAGAAGCUUGGCCAUGGCUUAAUUGAGUUAGUAGUAUUUGCUUUGGAUGUGGUGUGAUGAUGGUGUAUUGGUGUUAACUCUUGCUCCUAUUUAUGCUAGUAUAGUGCUUGAAUGAAAAUGUUAUUUAAAUUAACAUCAUAUUUUUUAUUACACAAAAAUGACUCACCCCAUCUUCUCGAGAUUAACUGAACUUGUGAUCUCUAAUAAUUUAUAACCUACCACAUUGUAGUUGUUGGAGUAUACUCCCUCUGUCCCGGUUUUAGCACGAGUUUUAAUAAAUUGGUUGAUUGUAUUAUGAGUAGAAUAAGGAUAAUAUUUUUUAUGGAAGUGUUAAAAUAAUUAAAAUUGAGAAAAUGUUUCACCUAUUUUUAUUAAAAAUAGAAAUGAAUUUUAAAAUAUGGGACGACGGCCAGAAAAAGAAAAUAUAUAUGGAUACUAAAAGUUGGGACGGAGUGAGUAUUAUCUAUAGUGGUAUCUAUUGUAUGAGUACAAGAGAUUUACUUGACUUGUUGAGGUAUGGAGAGAUUAUUACAAACCACGUGAAAUUGAGUUCUUGCUCCCACUGUAAAAGCAAUAAAUAUAGGGAAAAGAAAAUUAAUACUUCCUUCGUCCAAGAAAUGAGUACACAUAUUUCUUUUUUAGUCCGUUCAUGAAAUGAGUACUCAUUAAUUUUUCUUUUUAUCAAGUGUACCUCACACAACCCUUUAAUUAAUUAAUACCUUUAAAAAGUGGGUCCCUUAUUCCACUAACACCACACUCAAUCAUUUCUUAAAACCUGUAACGUCCCCAAAUGAGAUUCAUUUCGUGGAUUGAGUAAAUUCUAUACUACAAAUUAAUGGUUCGAAUUCACUUUAAAAAAUAAACUACAAUUAAGAGUCCCUCUCUUAAUUGGAAUUCAUAGACCAUCUGCUUCAGUCGUGCCCGAAGACAGAAAAGGUUUGGAUUGGAAUUCAUAGGUGGCUAGGGAAUAAAAGCAGUGUGGCCUCAAUCAUUGAAGCACACUUCGAUUUGUUCACAAAUCUUGACAAAGGAAAGGAAGGUCGAUUUUUCUAGCGACAGUAUGGGUCUAUACCAUUUGGUUGCUGUGGAAAUGACGUAACGAGAGCAGAUUUGAGGGCAAGACUUGGGAGAUCAAUGACGUGAUCGAAGAAGUGAAAGUGAGGAUGUGGAGUUGGAACAAGAUUUUUGGACUACAUGUUAAAGAGAUUAGCUCUCAAUCUUGGUUUUCUUGUGAAACUCCUCUUGUUUUGUGUAAUUUGGUCGUAUCUCUGGUACCAAACUCUCUCCUAAUAAAAUUUCUUUUCUGAUUAAAAAAAAAAAAAAGAGUCCCUCUCUUAAUCAAGUAGACUGGAUGCGGUAAGAGAGAAAUCACUUCCAACUUAUCGAUUUUACUAGCAACAACUAGAUUUAUACUGAAGCUAAAUUGGAUCAGACUCUAGGAUUCACUAGUCUUUUACUCAAGGUGAGUCGGUUUACGAGUCUCAAACUCAAGGUGAACUAGAAUGUCUGUCAAUACGAACGUUGGGAGUUCGAGGGUUUUUUAGGACAGUAACUUAGAUUGAUUUGGAAAUUAGGACAAUAACUUUCGGACUUGUAAAAAUAGGACUCUAAUUCUUUUUAAGAGUAAAAUAGGACACUAAUUAAUAAGUGUUACAUCCGCAGGACAUUUUUCGGCCAAUUAUCGGCCGAGAAAUGUCCUACUUUUACGACGCUUAUUAAUUAGUGUCCUAUUUUUACAAAUUCGAAAGUUUUGUCUUAAUUUUCAAAUCAACAUAAGUUAUUGUCCUAAAAAAUCCCCUGACUCCGAACGUUGGAACAAGCUCGGCAAUAUACUGCUAUUCAACAUUAAUGGCACUUUGCACUAAAUGAAUUGGUGUCGAAUUAAUACAUCGUCUUGCUGCUCAUAUCUAUAUAAUAAAUGCAUACCUGCACCUCGAUAUUAAUCAAUUUAGAUACACUAAAUCUCGGAUAUACUUAACAAAUGGAUUAAUAAAUGUAUAAAUUUUAGAUUUCAGAAAAUCAAAUACAGGUGUUCAUAAGGAAAUGAUUAAAAACCCGUGUGUCAUUUAGAUAAGAUUAUUAUAGUACAGUUAACGAUGGUGAAAUAUUCUUUUACAUUAGAUAUAAUAGCAUUCCAGAUCUCAAUGGCAUUUUUUGUUAUAACAAAAAAAAAUUGUAUAUGUUCCAUACUAUCCUCAAACUUCAAAUUAUUAUUUUUCUUUAUUUUAAAAUUUGUAUUGGCACAUAUCUGUCAAUUAAUCAAAUUCAUAUCAAAACAAUAAUUCGAAUGAUAUAUUAGUUGGCUAGCUAUAAAUUACAAAUUAUUAGUGAUUAGGCAUGUUUUACACAAAUUAUUAGCCCAAACAACAUUUGAUUGUGUGCAAUGCACACACUUACUAAAAGCAGAUGUGAUCAUCUGUCCCACAAUUUAGUGUGUAUCACCGUGUACCAUUCUUAAUUUGUCUAUUUUAUAAUUAUUUGUUGUAAAAAUAAAAAAAAUAUUGUUAUAUUAUGAACUCUAAUUAAAAUUUAUAACUAAAAAUAAAAAUUAAAAAAAAUUAUAUACCCUAACUUUGAAUUAAUUAACCCAAAUAAUCAAUUAUUAAUUCAAAUAAAUAUAAAAAAUAAUUAUAAACUCUAAUUGAAUGAGUGAACCCUUAUUAAUUAGUUUCUUAUUAUAUUAUAAUAAAUUAAAAUUGAAGAAAAUAUAAUUAUAUAUUAUAAUAAAUUAAGAGUGGUACACGGUGGUACACACUAAAUUGUGGGACAGAUCCAUGUGCACUAAAUUAUAGGUACGGAGGUGCGGAUGCGGGGGCGAUACGAUACGAGUACGGGGAUACGGGUUCUAAAAAAUUAUAGGGUGCGAUUCGGCAAGGAUACAUCUAAUUAUUAAAAUUUUAUGAUAUACUAAUUGUUAGAAAUGGAUAUUGGGCCAAUUCCUCCCUUAAAAGGCCUUAUAAGGGAGAGGGUUACCUCACCAUAUAAAGUGGCUCAUGCCACUAUCUCCAAUCCAAUGUGGGACACUUCAAUACUAAUGCUUAUAAAAUAUAUACAAUUUAAAUUUUCUUAAAUUAAUUAUAUGUAAUUUACAUUUUAUUUUACCCAAAAGUUAAGCAUUUUCAAUUAUAUAAGUUAAUUGAGCAACAAUAUAACGAUUCAAAUAUUAUUAGUCCAAUAUAUAAGUCAUAACUGAAAAUAAAAUUAUCAAAAUAACCUUGUGUAGGCCUUUCGUGCACGAGAUACGUGAAUUUCGCCUAUGGAAUUUGCAAAUCCGGUUUAUUUUUAUAAAUUGUUUUAAAAGAUACGCACUGGUGAAUCGGUGCGAAUCCGACAAGAAUUCGAGAAAUCACACCCUAAAAGAAUCCGAUUCGCCGUACAUCUAAUUUUUGAAGAAUCCGUGCAUCAUAGGUGAGAAGAAACACAAGAGAGUAAAAUGGUACAUAAUGUAGAAAGACUUUUCUCCAAAAUAAAUGUUACAGUCUUCUAAUAGUCGAAAGGCGCAUGAAAAUGCGCAGUUAUUCGAAAGAAAGGAAAGGCUUAUUCAGCCACACAAUGACAUGGAAUUCGAAUUGAAAUUGAAAUUCAGACAAAUCCCAAACACGGUGAUGCAGAGAUCAAGCGGUAACACGAGGAAUGAUCUUAAUACCACCGAUGGUAACUUCGUCGCCGUUAAUGUGGGGAACGAUGGUGACGACAAUGAAAUCAUCAUCAGCAAUAUUGAUGUUCUCAUAGAGCUCCCUCAAGUUCAAGCGAAGGUCGUUGGCGCUUUCCGCAGCCCUAACCCUAUGCGGAAUCUGCGUGAAACUGCCGGCGAACUCGGCCCUGGCGAGGUCCUCUGGCUUGUCGUCUUCGUCAUUCACGAACACAUCGAACCUCACGAGCUUCGAACUAUCGGUGAUUAUGUUCUCCAGCACGAGCACUUCGUCGGCUUUGCCUUUGGUUGGUUUGGGCACCAAAACCCUGUGAGUCUUGUUGAGAGUGAGAGGGAACAGAUUGUCUCCACUCUCUGCCCUCUUGGAGAGAUCUUCGAUAUUCACCGGCACCUCCCUCCGCGGUGGCCGGUAGGCUGUCCACGGAGUUUCGCUGUGUUCAUACACGUAUCCCAUUUUGGUGUGGUCCAAGCAGUCGGCCACCUUGACGCGCACGAGGUUCUUCUUCUCGUCGUAGAACAUGAACGCCGCGUUGUUGAAAUCGUCGGGGUUGGGGACGACGAGGUCGUUGAUAUCCUUGGGGAAAACGGAUGGGAUAGUUUUCCAUAUGGUCCACAUUCUGUCGACGUUAGCGUGAUGUGCGUAGAAGAGAGGGUCUCUUCCGGCGGAGUAGAAGUUCCCCAUGUCUUCGCGGAAAUCGUUGGCGGGGUUUCCGGUCCAGACGUGGACGCCGCCGUGUGAGCCGCCCUCCGACAAUCCUCCCUUGGCGCGUGGCGGGGGCAAGUCCCCGGAAACGUAAGGAUCGCCCAUGAAGUCGAUGGCGGAUUCGACAUCACCAAUCAUUUCCUUGUACAUCUGAGUGAGAUUGUUUUCGAUGAUCGUUACAGGAUCGGUGAUCGGGGGGGUGGUUAUGGCAAGAGCAACGAGGGCCGGGGGGCGAUGCGUUGGGUCGCGGUUGACGUCGUAGAGCGGGGAUUCUUCCCUGUCGAACGGCCUGGGCAUCUGCAUACCCCUAGGGUUGUCCCAGUUCCAGUAGGGCAGGGCGAAAUCGGGAUCUCCGAUGAGUUCGCCCAUGAUCCUCUCGAAGAAAUAGAGGUACCACCUGUGGAAGGGGUGGAUCCAGAAUUUGUCAUUAGGAGGGACUAAAUUUGUUGAAGCAUGACGUCUCAAAUUAUUAGCCAAUUUUUUUUAGCAUUCCAUACAGUUCAUUUUUUUGUCGAACUACAUUCGAUUAAUUCAACAACAAGAACAUUGAAAGCAUAUAAAUACUUACCUCUCAAAAAUUGUUUCAUCUUCUAAGAAGAUAAGCUAAUUUUCAUCAUGGCAGUUCAUAAUUUUAAUUUAACUUGAGGAUUGACUCAAAUUCAACACUGAGAAUCAACUAAGAAAGGAAAGUAGACAAAAAUAACAUAAAUUUAACAAACUAACAUAUCAAAUUUAAAUCACUAUAAAAUAUUAAACAGUUAAAACGUGGAUACUAUAAUUAAUAAAACAAUGUAUUUUAUUAUCUCUUGUAUUUCUUAUCUAUACUAAUAGAAAAAGAGUCUAAGACAGUCUAAGGCACAACUUGUGGAUUGCCUAUUUUACCCUUAUUAUAUAUUUAUUAUUAUAUUUACAAAAUAUAAAUCUAUUUUGAUAAAUAUUUAUUUGUCACUCAAAUCUAUAAAGAAUACUUUAUAUCUAUAGCUAUUGAUAAGGCUUAUAAAUAAAUAUAUUCAUCCACAACGUACGUUCUUUCUGCUAGUAUAUAAUAAAAACAAAAACAAAAAACUCAAAAUUUGGGAGGCGGUCGAUCCGCUGCUAACCUGUGGAAAGGGAAGAAGAUCCAUGAGUUGUGAACCUGGAUAUCGAUGCCGGGGUGGUCCACCUGGUCGUAGGGGCCGUUGCAGUAAGCGCAGUGGAUGUUGGCCUGCUGAGUGAAGCCACGGGGAUCGUCGGGGUCCGUCACGUCCAGUUCCUUCAUCUUCUGGAUGGCCAACUCAUACUUGCGUACGUAUUCCGGUGUCAGCCUGUGCGCCGCCGGCCUAACGCGAGGUUUAGUGAACCUCGGAAGCUUGUAGUCGCUCUGAACGUCGGUGUAGGGCGGGCAGCAGUUGACGUCUAGAGAUAUUACCUCUUGGUUUCGAGUGGUGUAGGCACCUUCGGGGUCGCAGGUGCUCAGGUCAGGAGGCAAAAUCGGAAGCGCCUCAGCUUUGCGGAUGGCGCUGCCUGCGCCGUAUAGACCGCCCAGCCCAAGCAGCAUGUUUCUGCGGUCUAUACGGCCGCUGCCACCGCCACCGCUGCUGCAUGACACCUGAAAGCGGCCGUGGCUCCGCCGGCUGCUGAGCUGGGAGGGCUUGCGAAAUGGGGAGUUGGUGGCGGCGGCGAUCGCCGUGAAUGAAGAUUGAAGGGAAGCCAUGUUUGAGUGAUUGAUUGAUGGUCGUUGUGAUUACCUGGGGAGGCAUGUCUUUAUAUAGCAGAUGUGACACGAGUUUUAAGAAAAAUAAAUUAUCCGUUGAAUAAUUAAAUCGCCAUGUUUCUAUAAUUUAUUCCUAAUGGAUCUAGUCAAACUAAUCGUGCAAUAUUUAAUAAACCACGCAGCAUCAUUUCCGAGACUAAUAAAUGACAUUUUGAACCAGCUAAUCAAUUCCAUAUAAUUAACCAUUUGCGAGGCUGGCUGCCCUUCACUAAAUGGUUGUAUGCACUUGUCUUUGGAAAAGCUGUUUGGCCAUAUUAUGGCCAGUCAUAAUAUGGGAAAAUAUUAUAAAAGUCAUGUAUUUAAUUUUUUAUAUUUAAAAUAAAAAUAGGAUUUUAUUAGUUUUAUUUUUUAUUACAUAUUUUAGCUAUUUUUUUUUAUAAUUUUUCUGAAUUUUUUAGAAAAAUAAAAAAUAAAAUUACAAUGUGAACAAAAUUAUAAAACUAAUAAUGGUAGAGCAGCGGAGGGCACAGGUGAAGGGCAUGGCGGCGGUGUACUUAUUUUAGUCAAGUAAUUAUUAUUGCACGAAAAAAUAAUUAUUAAUAUAAAGAAAGAUAAUGUUUCAAAGACAUUAUCUUUCUUCAUGUCUAUUAAUUUUUCAUCACAAUAAUAAUUACUUCGAAUUAUCCGUGUUUUCAAUCGUGCGACCUGCACCCAGCCCGACCCGACCCGUUUCACCCAUAUAGUCAGUCUCACCCAAGUUUUUGCCUAAAGAUAAGUAUUAAUUAGUUGUGUAUGGUGAUAUGAGUCUUGUUUGUAUAAAUUAGUAGGCCUUUAAUAAUGAAUUGGCCCAUCUCAGGUGGUUUAUAUAAUUUACUCGUAUGGAUCUAAAUACAACUAAUCAUGAAAUAUUUAAUAUACCACGGAGCAUCUUUCUGAUAUACUAUUUAUAUAGUAAUUUAUUCCUAAUGGAUCUAAUCUCUGACUAUUUAAUAAUUAACUCGCCAUCGUUUAAAUAAUUUACUCCUUAUGGAUACACUCAAAGUAAUCGUGCAAUAUUUAAUAUACCACGCAGCAUCAUUUCUCAUACAAUAUUUUGGACCAUCUAACCAAUUACAUAUAAUUAAACCUUUUGCCAGGGUGGCUGUCCCUUCCACUAUAUGGUUGCAUGUAUUGAAUUGAAAUUUUAUUGAGGAAAAAAUGAAAAGAAAAACUAGGAAUUCAUUGAUAGCACGAAGACGCUAAUUAAGGGCUGAGCCUCAUCAAAACCUUUCCGAUAAAAAUCCAGUGAAAAAAACCACCAGCAAAGGAAAAAGAGUACCAGUCUAUUACAAUAAAAAAAUGAAGAACAAACUCAAGACAGGAACAACGAGAAGCACGAGAGGAUGAUAAAACAUCUAACCCGAAAAAAAAGACCCAAACCAAAGGAGCCUGACAAAUCCGGAGCCAGUACCAGCGCACCAGGAAACUGAAAAAGUUCUGGAGAAGCCACUUCGACCCAAGCACGCCAACCAUCCAAAAGAAACGACUACCACACCCACACCUAGGCCAAGAAAUAUAUAAUAUUGUGAAUAGUUCCCAUGGGAUCGAAACAGACCACCAAAACAAGAAAAAACCUCUAAGAGCAGACUACUCAUUGCCUGCCUGCCUAGUAUUCGAUGAAAUACCCAAACCAGAAAUCAUAGCAUAAAGCAAAAACCGCCACAGCUGGGGAGCGAAGAGCAGAAGGCCACCAAUAAGAUACAUUAGGAUUGCGCAAAGUCUGACAAAGAAAUCAGAAAACUUACCAGACCACUCUAGUUAAUGUAAUCUAUACAUGUCCGCACAUGAAAUUUGGUCAAGUUAGAUACACUAAUCUCAAAUCUAUUUAAUUAACAAAUUGAUUGAUUGAUAUUUUUUUCUGAGAGAAAUUGAUUGAAUAAUUUUUAGACUUCAAAAACUAAUAGUUAAUUGAUUGUUUAGAUAAGAUUAUUAUUACACUUUUAUAUAGAGAUAAUUAGUACUUGAGAUAUGUGCAAUUUACGCAUUCUUCUCUCGAGACAAAAUAAAUAUUAUUGACCAUUGAGAACUCUGCUACCACUACUCCAGUUCUAUUUAUUAUCAGUGUGCCCUCUCGCGCGCUGCACGGGUCACAACAUAUUUGAUUAUUUAAUUUUAGCUGUUUACGCAUACUUCGCUCGAGACAAAAAUAAAAUAAGAUUUAUUGAUCAUUGAGAACUCAGUACCACACCAUACUCGUGUAUACUAUAAUAUUUAUCAUUGUUUAUGAUUAUUACGUGUCUUCGCCGAUAAAUUUAAUAUUCAUUCCUUUAAUUUUUUUCUAUUGACAUUGGAAACUGUCUUGAUUCUUUUUUGGCCAUAUCAUAUAUUUAAAAAAUUGGGAGGGGAACGUGGAAGUUGAAUCUGAAAUAAGAAUCAAAUGAUACAUGUGUACUUUCAAAGAUAAAACGCAAAAUAUAUCAUUUUUUUGUAAAACAUAUAAAUUCUACUAUUUAUGAUUAUUUUAAAUUUAUAUAAUCUAUAUUUGUAUGUAUAUAUAUUCUCCAUUUGUUCAUGAAAAAGAGUCUCAUUGUAUGCUGAAUACGAGUUUUAAUAAAAUGGUUGUAAGUGUGAAAUAAAUGUAUAAUUUGUAAGAGUCUUUACAUUAGAUUAUAUUUUACUCUCUUCGUCCUAUUGAUAAUGACUCACUUUUCUUUUUCGUCUGUCUCAUUGAUAAUUGCAUGUUCCAAAAAAACUGAAACCAUUUGACCUCACAAAAUGUUGUGGGCUCCACUACUUUUUAUCACUUUUAUCCUUUAAUUACUAUUCUUAUUAAUAACCGUGUCGAACAGUAAUGAACUAUUAUCAAUGGGAGGGAGGGAGUAAUAUUUUAAUUUUGUUUGCUGCCACCACCACCACCACCACCACAAUUUAAAAAAAAAAAUCUACGUGAAUAUAGUAAUUAUUAGAACAAAAAAAUAACUAUAAUAAUAAUAUAUUAAUCCGUUAAUUAUCUAUACUAAUAUAAAAAGUGCAUUUGGCACAAAAUAUAUAUUGCCUGUUAUAUCCCUAUUAUAGUAUUUUAUUUGAAGGACAACUUUGUAAAUUAUAUAUUAUAUAUUUAUAAGAAUAUAUUAUUUCAUUAGAUAUUACACUAAAUAUAUUUGAUAUAUAUCUAGAUCUUAUGCUAUAAUUUUUUUUAUAUUAAUUAAUUAUUAUAUAUUGUGAUUUAAUAGAAUUAUACAACUCUAAUAAUUUAUAAAUGUAAAGUUCAGGGAUUGCAUGCAAUGCACACAUUCUAUGCUAGAAAAAAAAUAGAAUUCACUAAGCCGAUGAUAAAUAACACAUACAACGUACUAUUUCUGCUAGUAAAUUAAAAAUCUAUAUGAUUUUAUCUUCUAUCACUACAUUAAUUAAAAUCUAUCUUCCGUUUCAUAUUAACGGUGGUUUUUCAAUAUUUUUUAUAUUAAUUACUACAUAUUGUGAAUUUAUUACAAUUGUUAACCUCUAACAAUUCAUUAAUAUAAAGUUGAUGGAUUGUGUGUCAUGCACAAACUCUCCUGUACUCAUCUAAAAGACUCUAUAUGUGAGAAGAAACCGCAGGAGAGUAAAAUGGUACAUAACAUAGAAUAGAAAGACUUUCACAAAAUAAAUGUUACAUUCUUCCCGUAGUCGGAAGGAGCAUGAAAAUGCGCGGUUAUUCGCAAGAAAGAAAGGCUCACUCAGCCACACAAAACAUGGAAAUCCUAAACACGGUGAUGCAGAGAUCAAGCGGUAACACGCGGGAUGAUCUUAAUACCACCGAUGGUAACAUCGUCGCCAUUAAUGUGGGGAACGAUAGUGACGACAAUGAAAUCAUCAUCAGCAAUAUUAAUGUUCUCAUAGAGUUCCUUCAGGUUCAAGUGAAGGUCGUUGGAGCUUUCCGUGGCCCUAACCCUGUGCGGAAUCUGCGUGAAGCACCCGGCGUACUCGGCCCUAUCGAGCUUCUGUGGCGUGUCGUCUGCAUCAUUCACGAACACAUCGAACCUCACGAGCUUCAAGCUAUCGCAGAUUAUGUCCUCCAGCACCAGCACUUCGUCGGCUUUGCCUUUGGUUGGUUUGGGCACCACAACCCUAUGAGGCUUAUUGAGAGUGAGAGGGAACACAUUGUCUCCGGUCUCCGCCGUCUUGGCGAGAUCUUCGGUAUUGACCGGUUCCGGCCGCUGAGGUGGCCGGCAGGUCAUCCAUGGUGUAUGGCUAUAUUCAUACUCGUAUCCCAUUUUUGUGUGGUCCAAGCAGUCGGCGACCUUAACGCGCACCAGCUUCCUCUUCUCGUUGUAGAACAUGAAGGAGGCGUUGUUGAAGUCGUCGGGGUUGGGGACGACGAGCUCGUUGAUAUCCUUCGGGAAAACGGAUGGGAUCGUUUUCCAUAUAGUCCACAUUCUGUCGACGUUAGCGUGAUGUGCGUAGAAGAGAGGGUCUCUUCCGGCGGAGUAGAAGUUCCCCAUGUCUUCGCGGAAAUUGUUGGCGGGGUUUCCGGUCCAGACAGCCGCCCUCCGACAAUCCUCCCUUGGAGCGUGGCGGGGGCAAGUCUCCGUCAACGUAAGGCUCGCCCAUGAAGUUGGUAGCGGAUUCGACAUCACCAACCAUUUCCUUGUACAGCUGAUUGAGGUUGUUGGAGAUGAUCUGUACGGGAUCGGUGAUCGGGGGGUUGGUUAGGGCAAGAGAAACGAUGGCCGGGGGCCGAUGCGUCGGGUCGCGGUUGACGUCGUAGAGUGGCGACGCGUCCCUGUCGAACAUCGAGGGCAUCUGCAUGCCCCUAGGGUUGUCCCAGUUCCAGUAGGGCAGGGCGAAAUCGAGAUCUCCGAUGAAUUCGCCCAUGAUUCUCUCGAAGAAAUAGAGGUACCACCUGUGUAGGGAUGAAUCCAGAAUUUGUCGUUAGGGGGGCUAAAUCUAAAAGUAUUUGCAGUGGGGGCUCCCGUCCGCAAGACAAUUUUUUUUAACCAUUCCGUAUAGAUUUAAUUGGCUUAACAUUAGAAAUCAGUCACUUACUAUAAAAAAUAGUUGUUCGCAUUCCAUUAAUUCAACAACAAGUACAUUUAAAGCAUAUACAAACCUACCUCUGUGCAAUUUUUUAAAAUAUUAUUUCGACUUCUAAAAGAAUAAACUAAUUUUCAUUGUUAAUUAAUAGUUCAAAAUUUUAGUUUAUCUUGAAGAUUAACUCAAAUUAAAUAUUCAAUAUUACCUAAUUAAACAAAAAUGAGACAAAAAUAACACAAAUUUUUAACAAACUAACCUAGCAAAUCACUGUAAAAUGUUAAGCAAUUCUUUCUUGUAUUUCUUCUAUAUAUUAAAAACAAAAAAAUUAGGGAGGGGGCUUCAGCCCCCGUGGAUCCGCCACUAACCUGUGGAAGGGGAAGAAGAUCCAUGAGUUGUGAACCUGGAUAUCGAUGCCGGGGUGGUCCACCUGGUCGUAGGGGCCGUUGCAGUAAGCGCAGUGGACGUUGGCCUGCUGAGUGAAGCCGCGGGGAUCGUUGGGGUCCGUCACGUCCAGAUCCUUCAUCAUCUGGAUGGCUUUCUCGUACUUGGCUAUGUAUUCCGGUGUCAGCCUGUGCGCCGCCGGCCUCCUGCGAAGCUUUGUGAACGUCGGAAGCGUGUACUCUUCCUCGUCGUCCGUGUAGGGCGGGCAGCAGUUGGCGUCUAGAGAUAUUAUCUCCCCGUUUCUAGAAGUAUAGGCACCUUUGGGAUCACACUUGCUCAGGUCAGGAGGUGAAAUCGGAACCGCCUCAGCUUUGCGGAUGAGGCCGCUUGCGCCGUAUAGACCACCCAGACCAAGCAGCAUGUUUCUGCGGUCUACACGGCCGCCGCCGCCUCCAUCACUGCUGCACGACACCUCAAAGCGGCGCCUCCGCCUGCUGGCGAGCUGGGAGGUGGUGCGGAGGUUGGGGUUGGUCGUGGUCGCCAUCACCAUGAAUGAAGAUUGAAGGGAAGCCAUGCUUGAUUGAUUGAUGCUUGCAUUGCGCUCGAGGCAUGCAUGUCUAUAUAUAGUAGGCGUGGACACGAGUUUUAAGAAAAAUAAUGAUACUUAAUGGGAUUAUUUUCGAAAAUGAAUUAGGAAGAUGUUUUGGAGACGAAAAUAGAAAAUUGACCUUUUGCCAGGCUGCCCUUUCACUAAAUGGUUGUAUGCACUUAUCUUUUUUUUAUCUAUAAAGAGGUAUUUUCUCCAUUUAAAAAACUUAUCGAGGUAAUUAUGAAGACUAUUCAUUUUUAUCGUUGUAAAGUUAAUUAAAUUAUAAAAAUUAAAGUUGAUAAAGUUCUUAUUAAACAUCAUCGCUCUUCUGUCUUUGGACGACAAAAUUAAUUAUUUCAAAUAGAUAAAGAACUUGAUUUUCCGAUAUGGCUUCUCAUACUAAUUAAAUAAUCUAAUCCUAUAAUGUAUUUCAUAUAAAGUUAUCAAAUUAACAAUAUUCUGUGUGAAUUUUUUUGCCUUGAGUGUGUGUAUAGAGGUAGUCAGGGCCGGCCCUGAGGGUGGGCGGGCAUGGGCGACGGCCCAGGGCCCCAAAAAUUUGAGGGCCCAAAAUUUUUAAUAUAUCCUAUUAAUUAUAGAUCUUAUGUAUACUAACAACAUAGUUCAUCUAUUGAUUUUGGGCCCAACAUAAUUUAUUCUCAAAUUUAGAUCUAUACUUAAUAUAGAGAGUUUUCAAUUUGAAAUCAAUUUCAAAGUAAUUUCAAAAUUGAGUGACUAUUUUGUAGUUAUAAUAUUAAUAAAAUUGAAGGUUUAUGUUUAAACUAUAUAUUUUUAUUUUUAUUUUUAUUUUCAUUUUCAUUUUCUUUAACUUCUUAUUUGUUGUUACAUUUCUUUCCAAAAUUGUGAAAUUCAAUUAAUUAUAAAAUAUUUAAUAUGCAUAUCAAAUUAAAGAUCACAAUAAGAGUUUUAAUAUGAUAUAUUUUAUGAAAAAUAUUUGAUUUAAAAUGUAAAAUUUAUGCAUGUUCAAAUAUUAAAGUUUUAUAAAUUUCUCUCACCUCUCUCAUCUUUACGAAUAAAUAUAUUUUUAAUUCUUUUAAAUUAGUAUUUUAUUUUUAAUUUUUUUAACUUAUUUUUUUGUUUUUGUAUUUCAUAAUAUCAAAUUUUAUAAUUGUGAAUUCUUUUUUUAUUUUUUUUAAUAUUCAAUUCAAAUAUAUAUAAUUAAAAUUAAUUUUUUAUUAUAUUUAUAAGUAUAAUAAUUAAAUUAGUAUUAAUUUUAUAUAAAUAGUAAAAACAAAAAAUAUUUCCCGUGCAUGAGAUGCAAAUGGUAGUUGCACCUCGCCGCCGGUAAUAUAUUUAAGUAUAUAAAUUAAUUAAUAUUAACAAGGCGCCCGGUGAUCACCGGAGGCAUCCUUGCCGCUGGUAUUUCUGCCGCUACUUUGAAAAAUACGGCCGUCGGUAAAUCUGGCCGCAAAUUGUGUACGUUUUUUGGUAGUGGUAAUAUAUUAGGGCCCAAUUUUUUAAUUUCGCCCAGGGCCUCAGUUUUGUCAGGACCGGCCCUGGAGGUAGUUAUAGAAUUUAUCUUUUGUGUUCUCAAAGGAACUUAAUUAAGAUCCAAUGUGAUUGAUACAUUUCGACUAAAUGGAUGGGCAAGAUUCUUUUAACGCCCAAUAUUAAUUCCAUCUCAAAUCGGAUCUUAUAUAAUACUGUAUUUUAUAUAUUCUAUAAUGCAUUUUAUAUAUUACGUGUCUAUUAAAUUAACAUUGAUCUUAGGAGUGAUACAAGUUUAAAAAAAAGCUAGCUGUAUAUUUGGUGAGUAGAGAAGGGAUUUCAGAAAUUAGAAAAAAUGGUGAUAGGUAGUGGAAUUAUUUUAAAAAAUGGACUAAAAAGAUGUUUCAUGAACGAACGAAAAUGGCAAAAUAGGAAGAUGAGUCGUGGUCGGAGGAAAUAUUAUAAUGCAUCGUAUCCUUUUUUGGUUCGUAUAAAGAUUUUUAUUUGAUCCUCAUCGAGAACAUGCAUAUUGCGAAUACUUAAUUUAUUUCAAUAUAUAUAUAUUAAUUUAUUGGGAGCAUAUGCUAAAUAAAUUAAAUUAAUCCGAAUCAAAAGCGCUUAAUUAUCACUACAUUACAUGCAUUAUGACAAAAAGCCUGCGGCUAAAGAUCUUCAGUUUAAGUCUAUUGUCAUAUUGUUUUUAAAAUAUUAUUUAUCCAUUCCGCAUAUGGAUUGGUCAGAUUUAGAUACACAAAUCUCAAAUGUAUUUAAUUAACAAAUUGAUUGAUAAAUUUUAGAAUUCAAAAAUUAAAUCAAUCAAAUACGCGUGUCCACAGUCAAUGGAUUGAAAAUAUGCAGGUAUCUAGAUAAGAUAUAUUAUUAUUAUUAUUACACUGUUAACUAUACUGCAGUACACUUUUAUAUAUACAGACAUAAUUAAAAUAUGCAGGUAUCUAGAUAAUAAGAUUAUUAUUACACUAUUAACUAUACUGCAGUACACUUUUAUAUAGAGAUAAUUACUAGAGAUAUGUGCUAUUACCCAUACUUCGCUCGAGACAGAAAUAAAUACGAUUGACCAUUCAAUUAAACACUACGACACCAUACUCGUGCAUGUACUAACGAUCUUAUUAUAAGUGCACCUUCCCGUGCGAUGCACAGGUCAGUAGAAUUGUAAUCGAUAUUGAUGUGAAUAUCAUCAUAUUCGAUUCGUAUUUGUGAAAAUACUCUAAUAUUUGAUUCAGCAUUCGAUUCGAUCACGAAUACUAAAUACGAUCCCAUAUUCGAUUCGAUGUUAUUUUUGAAUUAUUUGAUACAUUUUUUAAAAUUAAUUAAAUAAUUUUUUUACGAAUAUUCGAUUCGUUUUCCAUCAUAUUCAAUUCAAAACUAUUCGAUUUGAAAUUCUGAAGGAAAAAAUAUGUUAAAUAAUAUUCUAAAAAAUAUAGGAUUAUAUCCAAUAUAUUUACCUAAUAAUUAAACACACAAUAAUAAAGUGUUCAAUUCAUAUUGUUUUAUGUCCCGUGGUUUGUUUCUAGGAUUGUGGUAAUAAAGACUGAUUGGAUCAGUCUAGUACAGUUGUUGUUUGAAUUUGUAAUUUUGUGUAACGGCAUUGUCAUCUUGUUGAGAUUAAUAGGAGUUAAUUUGUUUAAUUAAUUAUUCAUGAGUUUCUUAUAAGAUACCUUCCUUCGUUCCGUAAAAAUAGUCAUAAUUUUUCAUUUUAGAACGUCCAUAAAAAAAUAGUGUUAUUCCAUUUAUAAACAAUUUAGAUCCUUACCUUUGGGAUGAGAUAAAAUGAAAUUCCAUUUUAAAUCAUAAACUAGCUAUAUAGGAAGCAUUUUCAGCUCUUGAAUUCAUCUGUUGUUCGAAUUUCAUAGGAAGCAAGUUUUUUUGACUCAUUAUUUUCACAGCGAAUUCAUCAUGUUACACAUACCCUAAAGUGAUAUAUUUACCCUAUUUGAUAACAUGAUAAGUAUAUUUGAAGCGCUCACUAUUUUAUUUGAACUUUAUUAUCGAGUUUAAACGAGUUUUGAAAUAUUGAAUUAAAUUGAAAUAUCCAUGUUGAUCGUUUAAGAAGCAAAUUUUUGGCAUGGGUUUAUAAAAAAUACAUCCUAGCCUCCAUCCCUAAUAAGUGCGGUGUGAAGGAGUGGGCAAUAGUUCUUUAAAAAUAAUUGAGAGAUGUGUAUAAAGUGGAUAAAAUGGCUUACUAGAGCUGAUUUGUUAGGCCUUACUUUCUCUCUGCCCCACUAAAAUAAGCUCAAUUCUUUUGAGAACAUAGAUUAAUAAACUUUCUUUUGAGAAGAAAAUUAAAGUGGUGGCAAAAGUAAUGUGGUCCAUACCAAUUAAGCAAUUUGAGUACAUUUUUUUUUUCACUCAAAAGGAAAACGAGCCUAUUCUAGCGGGACAUUCCAAAAUAGAAAACGAGCAUAUUCUGCUGGGACGAGGGAAUAAUAAAUUGUUUGUGAGAUGAGUAGUUUGUAAAUAUUGUGUGUGAAAGGUGUAUGUCUUAAAUUGAAAAGACCAUACCUGUAUUGUGAUUGUACGGAAAGGUGGAACUGAGCAUCGCGGCGGCGGCGAGGCAGGAGGCGGCGGUGGUGAGGAGAAUCGAGAGAGAGAGAGAAAGAUGCCAGCAGACAGUGACGGAGGGCAGUGGGCGGCCCUUGGCGGCAGCGGAGACGACAAGGUACUGGCUGUGCCAGAAUUAUUUAGUUGCAUAGGAUCCUUCCAAAUGUAAUUACUGAUUCACUGUUGGAUUAACAAGAAUUAAAUUACUUCAUAAUACAGUAUUCCAACUGUUCGAUAAAAGCCCUUAAUGAAAUCUUCCAUAGAUUACUUUGCAAAGUUCAUAAAAUUACUCAAAAGCAUUGUUGCAUAGUCCGUACAUAGAGAUGGUCGAUUAUCUUAAUUAUGUCUAGAUUUAUUUACGACACACACACACACACAUCACAAAAUCACACAUACUGACUAAUAAGGUUCCCGAAAGCCGGCAUUAUUAGGCGCCAUGGUGGCCGUGAAAUACCAUGAGACGAUAUCAUGGGUGGUGGGUCCGUCUAGUCUGGUGGCGGCGGAGAGCCCUACCUGAACCUGCUAAGGAAGAAAGCCGCUCAAAUCAUACUCAUAGCUGACUUCAAACGUCUUCGAGCCGGCGGUGGCACGGACGGCGAUCUACUUUGUGGAGGCGGCGUAGUUGAUCCUCGCCGUCACCUGCUGCUCGAGUAUGGAGCCGUCGACCUCCGUCGUGUUUCGGGAUGACCUAGACCCGAUGUCGAUGCCGAUGUGGGGAUAGUUCGGAUCCCACGCGCUGUUGACGUAGGUGUCGAACUCGACGGCAAAUACCGAGGGGUUGCUGCCGGAGGAGCCGAAGAUUCCGAGGUUGGCCCCGCUGGAGCCGGUGGGGAUGGUGGAGCGGCGAGAUUGGUGAUGCUGGGUGUGGUGAUGAAGUUUACGGUGGUUUCAAAGUCGACUUGGCCACCGGCUUGGGAGAAUUGGACCGGGUUCGUGUACAAGACCCGGCCGACACUACCGAUCUGCGGUCGCCUUGGUAGGUGAGGUCGGUCGGCUGGUUGUCCCAGAAGUUAUAGGCGAAGGCCGUUGAUCGGGACUUCGCCCUGUUGGUGGCGACGGCGAGAAGAAGGGCGAUGGAGAUUAGGGUUUGGAGAAGGUUGGCCAUGGCUUAGUUGUGCAGUGAAUGAUGUCUACUACUUGCUCCUAUUUAUAAUGAUCGAAAAUAUCUACUACUUACCUACCACAGAUCCACAUCAGGGGCCCUGGAUGGGGUGGUCGACUACAUAAGCCCAAAAAAAUAAGGGCUCGGAAAAUAUAUAGAUCCAUGUAAGUAUUAUAUAUAUGUAUAAAAUAAUUAAAAGCCAACUAAUGAUUGAAUUGAUUAACUUGGCGCAGUGGAAAAAGGACAUUUUUAAUUCCUCUUAAUUACCAAUAUUUUAUUUAGUGACCAAUUUUUUUGUUUAGAUAUAGGGCCCAGCCCCUAUUUUGAUAAAUUAAGUGUAUGUAUUUCAAAUUAACAUUAUUUUAAGUUGUCGAAUUUUUUUGUUAAGAUUUAGGGUCCAGCCCCUAUUUUGUUAAAUUAACUUUAUUUUAAGUGAAUGACAUAAUUAUUAAUAUAUUUAUUAAUUAUUAUGUAAUUUGAUAAAAAAAUGUUUUAAAUAAUUUUAGUUUAUAAUUAAUUUAUUUCUCAAUUAUAAAUAAAUGGCCUAAAUUAAAAAAUUCGCAAAGGGCCUAUGUUCUCUUAGCCCUACCCUUGCACUGUUGCACAUGGUAUAUAUAUCUAUUCUAUGAAUAUAAGUGAUUAUUUUAUAAACCACGUGAAAGCACUUGUUCCCACUAGCACUAUAAAAGCAAUAAAUACAACGGAAAGAAAAUAAAUUACAAUUGAAUACAUUAGGAGAAAAAUUACUUCUAACCUAUGGAAUUACUAACAACGAUACUUAUACCAAAGCUAAAUUGGACCAACUAACUGUACACUCUUGUAUUAUAUCAACCUACCAGACCUUAGUAUUCACGAGUCUCCCACAGUCUAGACUGAUUCACAAUAUAUACCAACAUUGGAACAAGUUCAGUAAUACACUCUAUUUAUAUAUAUUAUUAUAUACACAAAAAUGCAUGGCUGCUGUGGUAUUACGGAAGGAUCGAGAAUUACUCGAUCCUUGGGAAAAGGUUCAAAUGAAACCUUUAUUAUUACUCUCCGUCCCCCAAAUAAUAUCAUAUCCGAUUUGGGAUAUUACCCCACCACUAAUAAUACUUUAUUUAUUCUAACUUCUCAAUCUUUCACCAUUCUCAAUACUAAUUAUAACACAUUUUCAUCACUUUCAAUACUAAUUAUAAUUUCUUUUCUCCACUGCUAAUACGUACACUUAACAAUUUUUCCUUAAAACCAGUGUCGUCCCCUACUAAGAAGUUAUUUGGGGGACGUAGGGAGUAUUUUUUAAUGAUAUGGCAUCCAAAUAUGUUGUGACAAUCCAGUGAGCAAUAUCAACUUUUUGGAGCUGAAAACCGAUGUGAGGUACAACUAAUACACAAUAUGUUGUGGCAAUCCAGUAAUAUACCCUAAGGAUGCGUCAUCUUUUGUUGUAAAUUUAUCAUGGAAAAAUGAGGGAUAAACAAAAUUUCACCCAUUAAAUCCUUCAUUUUUUCCCUCAUUUCUUACAAAAUAGAAUUUGACCCUUACUCAUUUCUCAUUUUCACUGCAAAGGGGGGCUAAUAUUAUCUCUCUAUUUUUGGUAUAAUGAAGAAUUUGAUACGUAAUUACAAUUAAUUAUAAUGAAGUGUGUAUUUUAGUUGCUCAUAUUCUUGGAUUAUUUAUGCUUUAAUGAAACGAUCCACUGCCUUUAACAUUUUGGCAUUUUAAAGUAAACGCCGAAAUGCAACGAUCCACUGCCUUUUAAGUAAACACCCUUGCUAACCCCUGCAUGCGUUUUUUCAUCAAACACUUGGGUUCAUUCUUUUAGGCAUUUUAUCAAACAGUUGUGCUCAGCCUCAUCCUUUUGAUCACAUUCCCAUAUCUCUCCUUAUAUGAAACCGCAUUUUCUAUUUCUCAUAUAUUUCCUAUAUAAUAUUUCCAUCAUUUCUAGCUCAACAAUAAUUCUUCUAGCAAAAUUAUCAUUUCAAAUGCACUCUUUUCCUUUUCUACUUUCUCUUCUGCAUAACAGAAAUACUAAUCCACCAUAAAAUAAUCAUAACUUUUUCUUAAUGAUACGAUGAGGGCACAAAGUUGAGAUGAUAAAAUCAUACAUAUUGGCGAAUGUUGCCGCCGGCUUCCUCUGACUUUUGGAUGCUGAGGGGAGGGGUGGCGGUGAAAUACCAGGAGUUGAUGAUGAAUUUGAUGGUUGUUUCCAUGUCCACCUGCCGCAGAGACCGAGAUACGAUUUUAGAAACAAACGGCAAAAUUACAAUUUCACAUAUAAAAAAUAAAAGACAAUUAAUAAAGCGCAUAAUAUUGGUAAGAUGCUUCCAACCAAUAGGUCGGGAUUGUAUAUCGUGUGAGUGUGUUUUUCAUUUUUUAGUAAUAACAUGUCGUGCUCGGGGCUUUUUUCCGUAUCUGCCCCUGCUUCCCGUCGUCGUGCCCGACUCGUCGGUUUUUGUCAUGCGGAGGUAGGUGGUGGCGUCGGUGAAGUUGGCGUCGCCUUCCAAGCGUAGGCCUUCCGAAUGUGGCGGCUUUUGGUAGAAGUCGUAGGUGAAGGAGACUGCAUCGCCGACCGACACGGUGGCGAGGAGGAGGGCGAUGGAGGAGAGGAGAGGAAUUAAGGUUUGGAGAAGGUUGGCCAAUUUGAUUAAAUGUAUUUGGAUGUAGUGGAUGAUGGUGUAUCGAUCUCUUGCUCCUAUUUAUAGUUGUAAAUAUAUAUUAAUAAUGGUAUCAUUCAAUCAUUAUACUUUAGGCCGGCCGGGCCGGAUCCUCUAUUCCAAAUUCUAUGUCUCAUUGUUCAUAUUCACUAUUAAUUUCACUAUUUCAAUAAUUAAAAAAAUUCAUAGAGUUUGGGGCAGAGGAUCCCGUUUGAAUCCCACAUGGAUCCUCUGUCCCAUAACUUAUUGUGUUCCUUCCCAUUAUUAAUCUCGAUAUUAUAUUUCUACUUUGGAGUUAAUUCAUUAUAAACCCAUGAAAGAUCAGACGAAAUUCAUCCAAUAAACAUUUAUAAAUUUAUAUUUAAAUUUUGUUUCGCGGGUAUCUGAUAGAUAAUAGGUAUUCGUGGGUGGCGAAUUUGGGUAGCAUUUGAUAUUCAUAGAUAGUUUCAUGAUUAAAAUCCAAUAUUCAUUUAGUUCACGGGUAUGGUAUGACAGCCACUAUCUGUGUACGUCAUACCUGAUUGCCAGUAUGACAAAUAUAAAAGUUGUGAGAUGCACAGCAGCUUAAUUAUUCAAAUAGAAAUAUCAUCACAUGUGCAUUGAUAUUUCACAAAAUAAAUACUACUACUAAUAAAUACUCCCUCCGUCCACCAAAGAUAUGCCACUUUACUUUCGGUACGAGUUUUAAUAAAAUGUGAGUGAAGUUGGUAGUGGAGUAAGGGUCCCACUUUAAAUGUGAGUGGAAUGGUAUGGACCUUACUACUAAAAAUGGAUGUGGCAUAUUUUUCGUGGACGAACGAGAAAGAAAAUUGUGGCAUAUCUUUGGUGGACGGAGGGAGUAGUACUCAUUGAUAAUGCAUGCCAACACAUGGUUCUUGCAAGUCAUAUAUAUACCUCAUCAGCAAUAUAGUAAAAUGAUGAUUUGACAACCAGAUUAAGACACCAAUUAUUCUUGUCGGGACACAGACAUAUAUGCAUAUAGAAUUAAUAUUAUUUACUAUUUCGUUUAUACACGUGAAUUAUGCUUUGGAUGCAACAUCGCCACGUCUCUUUCAUUUAUACUUCUCUAGUGUAUUGCGGACAAAAUAGUUAGUGUCUUUAAGAAAUUAAAAAUUUUCAAAUACAUAAGAAAGAAUAAUUAAUCUAAUUGGUGCGCCGGCAACUAAAACUUUUUUCAAUUCACUUUAUAUUUUAUAUACUCCCUCCGUCCACGAUUUAAUGCCCCAUUUUAGUGUGGGCACGGAGACUAAGAAAACUGAAAAAGGUGAUGUGAAUGAAAUAUAAGGGUAGUUGACUAAAGUGAUAAAGAUGCUGUGAGUGGGUUCACUAGUGAUAAAGUAUAGGAAAUAUAGAAUAUAAAAAUGAUAAAGGUGUUUUAAGUUGGGUCCAUUAGUGGCAAAGAGUAAUAAAUAUAGAAAAAGAAGAGUAAAAAAGUACAAAAAGCAUAAUAGGGCUUUAAUUUGUGGACAAAAAAUUAAGAGCAAGUAGGGCUUUAAAUUGUGGACGGAGGGAGUAUUUAACAUUACAAGUCAAUUGCUUGCAGAAUUUGAGCUUGUCUCCCGUGAUGGAGACCUCACCAUGCGGCAACCCGUGCCUGCGCCUGCCUUUUUUCUUCCCGUCUUGCUCUAUCCAGAUAUUAUACGUGAUCCAACUCUUUCCAGAUAUUAUACGUAAAUGAUAAUUUUACUAACAAAAAUUACACUUUUUAUCAAUAACAAAUGAAACUAUGCAUACAAAACAGGAGGUAAAUGAUAUUUUUCUUAAUAACAACUGAUACUUUUUCAAUGCAAAUAAUACUUCGCAAAUGAUAUUUUAAUAUAAAAGUAAAUGAUACUUUGUAUAAAAAUAAAUGUUAUAUUACAAAUGACACUUUUAAUGCAUACCAAUGACACUUUUAAUAACAAAAAUUGAGAAAAAAAAAUUAGAAUUCGGCCUUAAUUAAAAUUUGGACAACAUUUAUUUGGGCAAAGAAGAAAAACACCUGAAUUUUUUUUUUUCCUUUUUUGAGAGAGAAAAACUCAUGAAAUUUCAUGCAAAAGGUAAUGCAUAGCCAACCGGGCUCAAUCAUCUUUCGGCGGUUUUGGUUUGAUUCUUCCAACAUCUAGGGUAGCAUUCACACAAAAUCAACUCGUGUUCAAAAAUCUGAAAUUAAAAUUAACGAUGUGUCUCAGUAUAGAGAUAAGAACAUACCCCUCAAAUGGUUCGAGCCAAGGUCUAAUUCCUUCAGCAGUGUGAUAUUCCAAAUUUGAGUAGGCAUAUAUCCGCCAAAGUUGUUGUCUGACAAGCGAAUACUCUCAAGUUGUGGACAUUGGUACAAACUCGAUGGUAUAUCUCCUUCCAAAUUGUUAAAGGAUAGGUUCACUAGUUUAAGUCUUUGAAGGUUAUUGUACGUGCNUAGACAACAAGAAAUAUCUAUUGUCUAUUCUAUGACAAAAAAAUUAAAAAAUUCUAAUAUAUCUGCAUCCCUGUAUUACAAUACCAAUAUAUAUGAAAAAAUAAAAAUAAUUAAAAAUCAAAUAAUCAAACAAUACUUAUAAACCACUAAUACUCACAAUCAAAUAUUUACACAUCAGUGUAAAUAUUGGGUUCGAGUCCUCUGCGUGUGUUGAUCAAGCGGUAAGGGGUUAAUGCCUAAGGUCAAAGGUCUGGGAUUCGAGUCCCCUGUGGUGUAGCCUUUUAAUUUCGUUAUUUAAUAUUGUAAAUUUAUAAAAAAAAAAAAGUAUAUUUACACAUCAACAAUUGUAUUAUCUUUAAUACGCCUUCAUUCAUCUAAUAAAAAAAAUCUCUAAUAAAAUCUCCAACUAACUCCGGUCAUGAUCAUCUCUUGAAGGCGGAGGAAGGUGGAGUCCGUCGGGAAAUGGGUACUGCCUUGAUAGAUGAGAUCUUUCGGCUGGUCGCCCCAGAAGUCGUAGGUGAAGGACGUCGUUUGGGACAACGCCGUGUUGGAAACGGAGAGGAGGAGGACGAUGGAGGAGAGGAGAGGAGUUAAGGUUUGAAGAAGCUGGUUGGCCAUGGCUUAAUUGAUUUAGAUUUAGAGAUGUGGUGGAUGAUGGUGGUAUCGAUCUCUUGCACCUAUUUAUACUAGUAUGGUUCAUGCCUGUUAAUAAUUGUAUAUAUCAAUCAUCGUGCAUCUAUCCCAAAUUAUAUGUCUUAUUAUUCACUAAUUAGAUGGAUUAAAUCCUGAUUAGUAACCAUAAAAUUAAACUGUCAAUGAGGCCUUGCUCUAGUGGCAAAGCUGUGACACCGAAUAACUUUUCUUUGUGAAAUGUCUUGGGUUCAAUCUCGCCUGCAUGCGGUGAUGUGUGUCCAUUUUAGGUGGUGUGGUAUUCUUGUCUGCGUGCGGUGUUGUAUUGUUUAGUGUUGAGGUCCCACAUGCAGAGCGUUCUUGCCUGUGUACGUGUCACAGCCCAAAACCAUUUAUUUUCUUUACAAAUUUUAUAUAUGAAAAUUAUUUAAUUUUUAAGUUAUAGAGUUUUUGAAAUAUAUAUAGUAUCAAUUUUAUGUUAACUUAGUCGUGUCCCUAAUUAAAAGAAUGACUUUAAAAUAAAACUUAAGCCUUAAAAAUUUAAUCUACAUUCAUAUAUAACUGAAAUUACAUGCAUGUCUAAAUAUUAUUUAUAAUUAUCAAUAACAAGAUUAAUGAUUCUAUAUCUCUAUGUUUAUACAUGUAUUCACGUAUGACAUAGUAUAUAUUAGCUAUUAAGUUAAAAACUAAUAAAAUACUACACUUUUGCAUAGGAUAUAUAUUUAAUUAGUAGUAGGAUAGGACACGUGUAUUAAUUUUAAGGGCAAGUAAUCAAACUUUUGAAUGAUUCAUCAUGCUUAAAAAAAAAAGAGACCUAGAUAGAUGAUUCAUCAGAUUCAAAAACAAGUAUAAAUAGACUUCGGGUUUGAAAUUUUAAUUAAUUUGCAACAACAAUUCAAACUGACUGUAUUAAGGUAAGUAGUUACAGAUUUCAUACACAUAUUAUAUGAUUUCGCACACAUAUUAAGGUAAGUAUAUAUAAAUAUUUUUUAAAAUCAUAUAUUAUAUAAUAAUUAUAUUUAAGUUUUAUAUUAUUCUUUAUAAACUAUUGUUUCAUUCUAUAUAAUUAGGUGUGGCACGACUAGGACGUAACUUUCUAUUGAAUUUCUCAAGUUAAUCUUAGAGUUCAAGUUUCAGGUGUGAGAUUUAUUUAAAUACAUGUCGUACGUGGUUAUUUAUUGUCCAUUUUAAUAAGAUGUGUUUACCAUAUGUGUUAUGACGCAUAUUUUUAGGAUAUCACUAGGUGCCCAUAAAUAGGAUCCAGGACUUCACCGUCCUUGGAUUGCCACAAUGCGAUUUGAGGUUUAUUUUGAGGAUGUCGUUAGGGGCCCGUACAUAGGGUCCAGGACUUUAAUAGUCAUUGGGUUGCCAUAGUGCAAAUAUUGAGGAUAUAUAUGAAGUGACCGUAUGUGUUACCGUUUCAUUAACGUGGACAAUGAUUGCAUGUUUAAGAGACAAUAACCAAUUUUUCAGACAUUUGUGAACAAAAUGAAGCAUGUUUAGAGAUCCUUAAUACAGGUGUACGAAAUGAUGGAUAAAUAAGUUUGUGAAACAAAUUUCACCAUACCUAACCCCACAAUUAUUUGCGGUCGAAUUUCCUCGUCACAGGAAAAAGAGAUGAUGACAAAAGGGAAAAAAUUAAUUAACAAAGUAGAAGAUGCAUGACAACUGUAAAAGAAAAAUAAUGCUACUAAUUAAAUAGUCCAAACUUCAUACGUUUCAUAUCAUAAGUGGCAGUUCUAUUUUUUUUUUUGCGAAUGUGAACAAAAUAACGAAUAAUUUUUAAAGUAAUAGUAAUAAGGAGAUGUGUUUUGACAGAAAACGACAUGAGCGGCCUAAAAAUAAGAGGGAAAAAGAUAAUCAUAUAAAUAUUCAAAAUCAAACGGAUUGGCAUGUAUUCAUCAUUUUUUAUUUUUUAUUUUGAUAAUUUAACAGUACUCCCUCCGUCCGUCAAAAGUAGACCACUUUGGUUGGGCACGGGAUUUAAUAAAAUUAGUGAUGAUUUUGAUGUAGUAGAGAAAGAGUUCCACCACUUUAUGAGAUGUGUGGUUGAGAUUGAAUUUGUUGUGAUUUUUUUGUAAAUAAAGAGUGUUUGUAAGGAUAAAAGAUUAAAGUGGGUGGUGGGACCAUUUCCAUAAAAGGAAAGUGGUCUACUAUUUGCGGACGCCCAAUAUAGUAAAAGUAGUCUACUUUUGGCGGACGGGGAGAGUAUUAAAUAAAUAAAUUUAAAGGUUGCACCCCUUACUGCUUGGCUUUUAGAUUAUGUUAUAAUAAUAAAAUUAACAGCACGUUUACAAUAUAAAAUUAAUUAUGAUAAAUACAAUAUAUUAAUAAUAAAUACUCAAUUACCUCUUAACAUAAUUCGCGCAUCAUGGCUUUUAGCUUAUAUUAUAAAGAUAUAAUAUGUUGUCUAUAAUAAUCGACGGAAGGUAAUAGACAACAUGUUUUAUAUGUUGUCUAUAAUAAUAUAGACAGUAGAUCUAGUGUUAUAGAUAACAAUUAAUACUUGUUGUCUAUAUGAUGAUAGACACCAAAAAUCUCUGUUGUCUAUUCUAUGACAAAAAAAUUUAAAAAAAUUCUAAUAUAUUUACAUCCCUGUAUUACAAUACCAAUAUAUAUGAAAAAAUAAAAAUAAUUAAAAAUCAAAUAAUCAAACAAUACUUAUAAACCACUAAUACUCACAAUCAAAUAUUUACACAUCAACAACUGUAUUAUCUUUAAUUACGCCUUCAUUUAUCUAUUAAAAAAAAUCUCUAAUAAAAUCUCUAACUAACUCCGGUCAUCAUCUCUUGAAGGCUUAGAAAAUGUCCAAAUACAGCGGCACAUGCUCAUUAUUGUGUGAGCGAUGAGAACUUUGCGCUGAACCUAUAAAGUAACUAUACUUAACUGGUAAAGUAAUUGUAUCCCGUGAAUCUAAAGGAAGACUACACACGUUGAUAGAGUUUGAAAGAAAAGAAUAAAGAGAAUGAAAAUCCAAAGAAUUUGCUUCUUCCGUUGAACAAUCCCUACACAACAUUGAAAUAUCAAUGAAAAUAAUGGCUAUCGUAUACUCCCUCCAUCCAUGAAAGAACUUCAUAGGAGGGAGUGACACGGGUUUUAAGAAAAAAUAUUGUUAAGUGUAUUGAGAGUGGAUAAAAGGUAGUUGAGUGUAUUGGGAGUGGUGAAAAUGUGUUAUAGUUAAUAUUGAGAGUUGUGAAAAGUGAAAAGUAAGAGGAUUAUAAGUGGUGGGGUAUAGUCCAAAAAUAGGUAGGAAGUUCUUUUGUGGACGUCCCAAAAAGGAAAGAUAUGAAGUUCUUUCGUGGACGGAGGGAGUAUUAUUUUGCAGCAGCAACCACGUUUGAAAACUCGAUCCCUCUGUUCUUGAAUUUGUGAAAUUUCCGACUGAUUUAUUAGAUUCACCAUUUAUUUCAGUUUAAUUAGUCUAUAUAUAGAUAUUUCUUAUAUUAUUAAAUUGUUAACCUCAUGGUAGAUUUCAAGAUUUGAAAAUUCAACAAAGAGCUUGAGAAUUAUUGAGAUUGGAAGGGGAAGAUGAAACAUAAUUGGGUGAAAUUAGAAACCAAUUAAAGUCACAAGAUUGAACAAAAACAUAACUUAAAAACACAAAAUAAGCAAAUCGUAGAUGCAGUAUCUUGCAAGAAAAAGUUCAUAUUCCCAAGGCUAUGAUGAGCACGAAUUAGGGUGUGUCUGCAUUUUAUCCCUCUAAAUAGAGGAAUAACAAAAUUUUAUUCUUUAAAUGUUUGCUUUCUUAUCACACAUUCUACACAAACACCAUUUUUUCUUCCUUAUUUUCACUUCAAGGAGGANUAAUAUUAUCCCUCCAAUUUUGGUGUGAUAAUAUUAUCUCUUCUUGAAGUGAAAAUAAGGAAGAAAAAAUGGUAUUUGUGUAGGAUGUGGGAUAAGAAAGCAAACAUUUAAAGGUAUAAAUUUUUGUUAUUCCUCAUUUAGAGGAAUAAAAAGCAAACACACAUUAGAGUCUACUUACAAUUUAGGCGCAGGCUGUGCGAGAAUUACUUAGUCGAAUAGGAUCCUAAGUAUUUAUAUUUCUCAUGUUCUUGUGUAUUUUUUUACUGAUUCACUAUUGGAUUAACAAGAAUUAUCUUACUUUAAAUUUCUUGCUUUAAAAAAAAAAAAGAAUUAUCUUACUUCAUGUAUGGUAUGCCAACUGUUCGAUAAAGGUCCUUUUAGAAAUCUUCUAUUGAUUACCUUGCGAAGACCACAAAACUAGACACACCCAAAAGCAUUCUUGCAUAGUUUAUACAUAGAGAUGGCCGAUUGAUGAUCGUCUUAUUUGUAGACUUAACGCGAGCAGACUCGAUCGCUUAGUCCUUAUUGAUUUACGACACACAUGCUCACACACACACAUACACACAUCACAAAAUCACACAAAUUGACGGAUAAUGUUGCCGUUCAGCUCCUUCCUGAACCUCACCGCGGCAUUUUUCUGCACCAUAGUGGCCGUGAAAUACCACGAGACGAUGUCAUGGACGGCGACGUGUUGUCCGGUGGCGGCGGAUAGCCCGACCUGAACCUGCUGAGGAACAAAGUCGCUCAAAUCGUACUCAUAGUUGACAUCAAAUGUCUGCGAGCCGGCGGUGACUUUCACGGAGAUCAUCCUUGUGGCUCCGACGUAGUUGAUCCGCGCAGUCACCUGCUGCCCGAGUAUGGAGUUGUCGACCUUCGUCGUGUUGCUGGAUGCCCUAGAGCCGAAGUCGAUGCCGAUGUGGGGAUAGAGCGGAUCCCACGCGCCGUUGACGUAGGUGUCGAUUUCGACGGCGAAGACCGAGGGGCUGUUGCCGUUGGAGCCAAAGAUUCCGAGGUUGGCUCCGUUGGAGCCAGGGGGGAUGGUGGAACCGACGGGGGCAAUGAAGAAGGCGAGGCCGUCGGCAGGCUCGUUGUCGGCGCCCGGGGUGAUGAUGAAGUUCACAGUGGUUUCGAAGUCGACCUGCCCACCGGACUGCGAGAAUUGGACCGGGUUCGAGUGCAAGACGCGGCCGACUUGUGAGGGCUGUGCGUCUGUGAGGCGGAGGAAGGUGGAGUCCGUCGGGAAAUGGGCGCUGCCUUGAUAGAUGAGAUCUUUCGGCUGGUCGCCCCAGAAGUCGUAGGUGAAGGACGUCGUUUGGGACAACGCCGUGUUGGAAACGGCGAGGAGGAGGGCGAUGGAGGCGAGGAGAGGAGUUAAGGUUUGAACAAGCUGGUUGGCCAUGGCUUAAUUGAUUUAGAUUUAGAUUUAGAGAUGUGGUGGAUGAUGGUGGCCAGGUAUCGAUCUCUUGCACCUAUUUAUACUAGUAUGGUUCAUGCCUGUUAAUAAUUGUAUAUAUCAAUCAAUCAUCGUGCAUCUAUCCCAAAUUAUAUGUCUUAUUAUUCACUAAUUAGAUGGAAUAAAUCCUAAUUAGCAAUCUUAAAAUUACACCGCCAAUGAGGCCUUGCUCUAGUGGUAAAGCUGUGGCACCGAAUAACUUUUCUUUGUGAAAGGUCUUGGGUUCAAUCUCGCCUGCAUGCGGUGAUGUUUGUCCAUUUUAGAUGGUGUGGUAUUCUUGCCUGCGUGCGGUGUUGUAUUAUUUAGUCUUAGGCGUUCUUGCCUGUGUGCAUAUCACUGUGUGACAAUUAAAAGAAUGACUUUAAAAUAAAAGUUAAGCCUUAAAAAUUUAAUCUACAUUCAUAUAUAACUGAAAUUACAUGCAUGUCUAAUUUUUUUAAUAUCAUAACAAGAUAAGAUUUAUUAAAUAAUUCAGAUGCAUAAAUAAAAAGUUAAUCUAUAAACACAGUAUAGAUAUAUUAUCAAUGAUAGGCCGUGUAUAAGUCUUAAUCUGUAAAACUAUAUCAUCCCAGCCUUAAACGACUACCAUUCCUGCUUUCCCAGAGCAACCACACUGUUCCCACCCACAAAGCUUUAAGCAGUACAUGCAUGUCUAAAUAUUAUUUAUAAUUAUCAAUAACAAGAUUAAUGAUUCUAUAUCUCUAUGUUUAUACAUAUAUUCACGUAUGACAUAGUAUAUAUUAGCUAUUAAGUUAAAAACUAAUAAAAUACUACAGUUUUGCAUAGGAUAUAUAUUUAAUUAGUAGUAGGAUAGGACACGUGUAUUAAUUUUAAGGGCAAGUAAUCAAACUUUUGAAUGAUUCAUCAUGCUUAAAAAAAAAAAGAGACCUAGAUAGAUGAUUCAUCAGAUUCAAAAACAAGUAUAAAUAGACUUCGAGUUUGAAAUUUUAAUUAAUUUGCAACAACAAUUCAAACUGACUGUAUUAAGGUAAGUAGUUACAGAUUUCAUACACAUUAUAUGAUUUCGCGCACAUACGUAUGUAUAUAUAAAUAUUUUUUAAAAUCAUAUACUCCCUCCGUCCCCAAAAUAAGUUCCUCUUUGGGGACGGCACGGAUUUUAAGGAAAAGUGGUAAAGUGUAUUAAUAGUGGAGAAAAAUAUGUUAUAAUUAGUAUUGGAAGUUGUGAAAAGGUGAAAAAGUGUUAUAAUUAGUAUUGGGAGUGGUGAAAAAGUGAAAAGUAAGAAUAAAUAAAGUAUUAUUAGUGGUGGGGUAGUUGUCCAAAAAUGGAAAAAAAGAAAGAGGAACUUAUUUGGGGGACAUCCCAAAAUGGAAAAAGAGGAACUUAUUUCAGGGACGGAGGGAGUAUUAUAUAAUAAUUAUAUUUAAGUUUUAUAUUAUUCUUUAUAAACUAUUGUUCCAUUCUAUAUAAUUAGGUGUGGCACGACUAGGACGUAACUUUCGAUUGAAUUUCUCAAGUUAAUUUUCAAGUUCAAGUUUCAGGUGUGAGAUUUAUUUAAAUACAUGUCAUGAUUAUUCAUUGUCCAUUUUAAUAGUAUGUGUUUACCAUAUGUGUUAUGACGCAUAUUUUGAGGACAUCGCUAGGAGCCCAUAAAUAGGGUCCAGGACUUCACCGUCCUUGGAUUGCCACAAUGCGAUUUGAGGUUUAUUUUGAGGAUGUCGUCAGGGGCCCGUAAAUAGGGUCCAGGACUUUAAUAGUCAUUGGGUUGCCACAGUGCGAAUAUUGAAGAUAUAUAUGAAGUGACCGUAUGUGUUACCGUUUCAUUAACGUGGACAAUGAUUGCAUGUUUAAGAGACAAUAACCAAUUUUUCAGACAUUUGUGAACAAAAUGAAGCAUGUUUAGAGAUCCUUAAUAAAGGUGUACGAAAUGAUGGAUAAAUAAGUUUGUGAAACAAAUUUCACCAUACCUAACCCCACAAUUAUUUGCGGUCGAAUUUCCUCGUCACAGGAAAAAGAGAUGAUGACAAAAGGGCAAAAAUUAAUUAACAAAGUAGAAGAUGCAUGACAACUGUAAAAGAAAAAUAAUGCUACUAAUUAAAUAGUCCAAACUUCAUACGUUUCAUAUCAUAAGUGGCAGUUCUAUUUUUUUUUUGCGAAAGUGAACAAAAUAACGAAUAAUUUUUAAAGUAAUAGUAAUAAGGAGAUGUGUUUUGACAGAAAACGACAUGAGCGGCCUAAAAAUAAGAGGGAAAAAGAUAAUCAUAUAAAUAUGGGUUAAUUGCCUCUAAAUACACCACCUUUCCUUGAAUUCUACAAUUGCACAUCACCUUUAAAAUCCGCCCUUAAAUACACCACCUUUCCUUGAGUUCUACAAUUGCACAUCACCUUUAAAUCCGCCCCAAAAUACAUCAUCUUUAUAUUUUUUCUGUUUUUGCACAUGACUAAAAAAUUCUCAAGAAAUAAAUUAAAGUGUUAAUUUAUAAAUUUAAAUAUCUUUUUAGCAGCGAAAACAUAAUAAAAUAAAAUUCUUUAUAAAGUUUAAAAUCAUAUAUAUAUAUAUAUAUAUAUAAGUAUUUUCGUAAAGAAAUAAAUUCUCUAAUAAAUUUUUAGAAAGAACUUGAAUUAAAAAAAUAAACAAGUCAUGACAUUAAGAAAAUAAAAUGAAAUUUUUAUUUUAAUAAAUUUCACACGAAUUCGAUAUAAUUUGGAAUUUAGAGUUACAAUAAUCAGAAGUACCACAUGAAUAAUAUAAUGAGUUUGAAAGAAAUUUUUUUUAAAGAGGUUCGACACGCCCAUUCGACUUUCCACGCGCCUCCAAUGUCAUUUACCUGAAAUAUUAANUAUAUAAGUAUUUUUCGUAAAGAAAUAAAUUCUCUAAUAAAUUUUUAGAAAGAACUUGAUUAAAAAAUAAACAAGACAUGACAUUAAGAAAAUAAAAUGAAACUUUUAUUUUAAUAAAUUUCACACGAAUUCGAUAUAAUUUGGAAUUUAGAGUUACAAUAAUAAAAAGAACCACAUAAAUAAUAUAAUCAGUUUGAAAGAAAUAUAUAUAUAUUUUUUUAAAGAGGUUCGACGCGCCCAUUCGACUCUCCACGCGCUACCAAUGUCAUUACCUGAAAUACUAAAUAUGGGAUAAGCAUACAUAAUAUACUUAGUGUGGGAACAUGCAAUUAUUGUCCACGUUAAUAAAAUAGUAACACAUACGAUCAUAACAUUCAAAACGACACAAUUUUGCCAAUAUGGAAGCCACGUCAUUUAAAGUGGUAACACCCUAAUCUAACUAAAGUGUUAAAUAUAAAUUUAAAGCGGAAAUAUAAUAAAAUAAAGUUCUUUAUAAAAAUAAAUAAAGAAUUUUAUUUUAUUAUAUUUCCGCUGCUAAAAAAGAUAUUUAAAAUUUAUAAAUUAACACUUUAAUUUAUUUCUUGAGGAUUUUUAAGUCAUGUGCAAAAACAGAAAAAAAAUAUAAAGGUGAUGUAUUUUGGGGCGGAUUUAGAAUUCAAGGAAAUGUGGUGUAUUUAGGGGCGGAUUUUAAAGGUGAUGUGCAAUUGUAGAAUUCAAGGAAAGGUGGUGUAUUUAGGGGAAAUUAACCCUAUAAAUAUUCAAAAUCAAACGGAUUGGCAUGUAUUCAUCAUUUUUUAUUUUUUAUUUUGAUAAUUUAACAGUAUUAAAUAAAGAAAUUUAUAGGCUGCGUCCCUUACUGCUUGGCUUUUAGAUUAUGUUGUAAUAAUAAAAUUAAAAGCACGUUUACAAUAUAAAAUUAAUUAUGAUAAAUACAAUAUAUUAAUAAUAAAUACUCAAUUACCUCUUAACAUAAUUCGCGCAUCAUGGCUUUUAGCUUAUAUUAUAAAGAUAUAAUAUGUUGUCUAUAAUAAUCGACGGAAGGUAAUAGACAACAUGUUUUACUUCUUGUCUAUAAUAAUAUAGACAGUAGAUCUAGUGUUAUAGAUAACAAUUAAUACGUGUUGUCUAUAUGAUGAUAGACACCAAAAAUCUCUGUUGUCUAUUCUAUGACAAAAAAAUUUAAAAAAAUUCUAAUAUAUUUACAUCCCUGUAUUACAAUACCAAUAUAUAUGAAAAAAUAAAAAUAAUUAAAAAUCAAAUAAUCAAACAAUACUUAUAAACCACUAAUACUCACAAUCAAAUAUUUACACAUCAACAAUUGUAUUAUCUUUAAUUACGCCUUCAUUUAUCUACUAAAAAAAAUCUCUAAUAAAAUCUCUAACUAACUCCGGUCAUCAUCUCUUGAAGGCUUAGAAAAUGUCCAAAUACAGCGGCACAUGCUCAUUAUUGUGUGAGCGAUGAGAACUUUGCGCUGAACCUAUAAAGUAACUAUACUUAACUGGUAAAGUAAUUGUAUCCCGUGAAUCUAAAGGAAGAAUAAACACGUUGAUAGAGUUUGAAAGAAAAGAAUAAAGAGAAUGAAAAUCCAAAGAAUUUGCUUCUUCCGUUGAACAAUCCCUACACAACGUUGAAAUAUCAAUGAAAACAAUGGCUAUCCUAUACUCCCUCCAUCCAUGAAAGAACUUCCUAGGAGGGAGUGACACGGGUUUUAAGAAAAAAUAUUGUUAAGUGUAUUGAGAGUGGAUAAAAGGUAGUUGAGUGUAUUGGGAGUGGUGAAAAUGUGUUAUAGUUAAUAUUGAGAGUUGUGAAAAGUGAAAAGUAAGAGGAUUAUAAGUGGUGGGGUAUAGUCCAAAAAUAGGUAGGAAGUUCUUUUGUGGACGUCCCAAAAAGGAAAGAUAUGAAGUUCUUUCGUGGACGGAGGGAGUAUUAUUUUGCAGCAGCAACCACGUUUAAAAACUCGAUCCCUCUAUUCUUGAAUUUGUGAAAUUUCCGACUGAUUUAUUAGAUUCACCAUUUAUUUCAGUUUAAUUAGUCUAUAUAUAGAUAUUUCUUAUAUUAUUAAAUUGUUAACCUCAUGGUAGAUUUCAAGAUUUGAAAAUUCAACAAAGAGCUUGAGAAUUAUAGAGAUUGGAAGGGGAAGAUGAAACAUAGUUGGGUGAAAUUAGAAACCAAUUAAAGUCAGGAGAUUGAAGAAAAACAUAACUUAAAAACACAAAAUAAGCAAAUCGUAGAUGCAGUAUCUUGCAAGAAAAAGUUCAUAUUCCCAAGGCUAUGAUGAGCACGAAUUAGGGUGUGUCUGCAUUUUAUCCCUCUAAAUGGAGGAAUAAUAAAAUUUUAUGCCUUUAAAUGUUUGCUUUCUUAUCACACAUUCUAAACAAACACCAUUUUUUCUUCCUUAUUUUCACUUCAAUGAGGGAUAAUAUUAUCCCUCCAAUUUUGGUGUGAUAAUAUUAUCCCUCCUACAAGUGAAAAUAAGGAAGAAAAAAUGGUACUCCCUUCGUCCCAAACGAAAUGUCCUGUUUUCCUUUUUGGGCUGUCCCAAACGAAAUGUCCUGUUUCCUUUUUUGGCAAUACACUCUCUCUCUAUACUUAAUAUUUAAAUAAUUUUCACCAACCCACUUUAUCUACUUUAUACACAUUUCUUAAUCUCCGUGCCGAAAAGAAAUGGGACAUUUCGUUUGGGACGGAGGGAGUAUUUGUGUAGGAUGUGGGAUAAGAAAACAAACAUUUAAAGACAUAAAUUUUUGUUAUUCCUCCAUUUAGAGGGAUAAAAAGCAAACACACCUUAGAGUCUAAUUACAAUUUAGGCGCAGGCUGUGUGAGAAUUACUUAGUCGAAUAGGAUCCUUAGUAUUUAUAUUUCUCAUGUUCUUGUGUAUUUUUUCACUGAUUCACUAUUGGAUUAACAAGAAUUAUCUUACUUUAAAAAAAAAAAAGAAAUGAUCUUACUUCAUGUAUGGUAUGCCAACUGUUCGAUAAAGGUCCUUUUAGAAAUAUUCCAUAGAUUACCUUGCAAAGACCACAAAACUAGACACACCCUGCAUAGUUUAUACAUAGGGAUGGCCGAUUGAUGAUCGUCUUAUUUGUAGACUUAACGAGAGCAGACUCGAUCGCUUAGUCCUUACUGAUUUACGACACACAUGCACACAUACACAGAUACACACAUCACAAAAUCACGCAAAUUGACGGAUAAUGUUGCCGGCCAGCUCCUUCCUGCUCCACGCCACGGCAUUUUUCUGCACCAUGGUGGCCGUGAAAUACCACGAGACGAUGUCAUGGGUGGCGACGUGUUGUCCGGUGGCGGCGGAUAGCCCGACCUGAACCUCCUGAGCAACAAAGUAGCUCAAAUCGUACUCAUAGCUGACAUCAAACGUCUGAUUGCCGGCGGUGACUUUGACGGAGAUCAUCCUUGUGGCUCCGACGUAGUUGAUCCGCGCAGUUACCUGCUGCUUGAGUAUGGAGCUGUCGACCGGCGUCGUCUUGCUGGAUACCCUAGAGCCGAAGUCGAUGCCGAUGUGGGGAUAGAGCGGAUCCCACGCGCCGUUGACGUAGGUGUCGAUUUCAACGGCGAAGACCCCGGGGCUGUUGCCGUUGGAGCCAAAGAUUCCGAGAUUGGCUCCGUCGGAGCCAGGGGGGAUGGUGGAGUCGACGGGGGCAAUGAAGAAGGCGAGGCCGUCGGCAGGCUCGUUGUCGGCGCCGGGGGUGAUGAUGAAGUUCACGGUGGUUUCGAAGUCGACCUGCCCAUUGGACAUCCAGAAUUGGACCGGUUCCGAGUACAUGACGCGGCCGACUUGGGACGGUUGUGCGUCUGUGAGGCGGAGGAAGGUGGAGUCCGUCGGGAAAUGGGCGUUGCCUUGAUAGAUGAGAUCUUUCGGCUGGUCGCCCCAGAAGUCGAAGGUGAACGACGUCGUUUGGGACAACGCCGUGUUGGAAACGGCGAGGAGGAGGGCGAUGGAGGCGAGGAGAGGAGUUAAGUUGGCCAUGGCUUAAUAGAUUUAGAUUUAGAGAUGUGGUGGAUGAUGGUGGUAUCGAUCUGUUGCACCUAUUUAUACUAGUAUGGUUCAUGCCUGAUAAUAAUUGUAUCAAUCAAUCAUCGUGCAUCUAUCCCAAAUUAUAUGUCUUAUUAUUCACUAAUUAGAUGGAAUAAAUCCUAAUUUGCAAUCUUAAAAUUAAACCGCCAAUGAGGCCUUGCUCUAGUAGCAAAGCUGUGGCACCCAAUAACUUUUCUUUGUGAAAGGUCUUGGGUUCAAUCUCGCCUGCAUGCGGUGAUGUUUGCCCACUUUAGGUGGUGUGGUAUUCUCGCCUGCGUGCGGUGUUAUAUUGUUUAGUGUUAAGGUCCCACAUGCAGGGCGUUCUUGCAUGUGUGCGUGUCACAACCCAAAACCAUUUAUUUUCUUUACAAAUUUUAUAUGAAAAUUAUUUGAUUUUUAAGUUAUAGAGUUUUCGAUAUAUAUACAUAUAGUGUCAAUUUUAUGUUAACUUAGUCGUGUCCCUAAUUAAAAGAAUGAAUUUGAAAUAAAAGUUAAGCCUUAAAAAUUUAAUCUACAUUCAUAUAUAACUGAAAUUACAUGCAUGUCUAAAUAUUAUUUAUAAUUAUCAAUAACGGGAUUAAUGAUUCUAUAUCUCUAUGUUUAUACAUAUAUUCACGUAUGACAUAGUAUAUAUUAGCUAUUAAGUUAAAUAAAAUACUACAGUUUUGCAUAGGAUAUAUAUUUAAUUAGUAGUAGGAUAGGACACGUGUAUUAAUUUUAAGGGCAAGUAAUCAAACUUUUGAAUGAUUCAUCAUGCUUAAAAAAAAGAGACCUAGAUAGAUGAUUCAUCAGAUUCAAAAACAAGUAUAAAUAGACUUCGAGUUUGAAAUUUUAAUUAAUUUGCAACAACCAUUCAAACUGACUGUAUUAAGGUAAGUAGUUACAGAUUUCAUACACAUUAUAUGAUUUCGCGCACAUACGUAUGUAUAUAUAAAUAUUUUUUAAAAUCAUAUAUUAUAUAAUAAUUAUAUUUAAGUUUUAUAUUAUUCUUUAUAAACUAUUGUUCCAUUCUAUAUAAUUAGGUGUGGCAUGACUAGGACGUAACUUUCGAUUGAAUUUCUCAAGUUAAUCUUCAAGUUCAAGUUUCAGGUGUGGGAUUUAUUUAAAUACAUGUCGUGGUUAUUUAUUAUCCAUUUUAAUAAUAUGUGUUUACCAUAUGUGUUAUGAUGCAUAUUUUGAGGAUAUCGCUAGGGGCCCAUAAAUAGGGUCCAGGACUUCACCGUCCUUGGAUUGCCACAAUGCAAUUUGAGGUUUAUUUUGAGGAUGUCGUCAGGGAUCCGUAAAUAGGGUCCAGGACUUUAAUAGUCCUUGGGUUGCCACAGUGCGAAUAUAUUGAGGAUAUAUAUGAAGUGACCGUAUGUGUUACCGUUUCAUUAACGUGGACAAUGAUUGCUUGUUCUCACACUGAGUGUACUCUGUAUGCUCAUCCCAUAUUUAACGUGGAAGGUCGAUUGACGAAUCAAAUAUUUUGUAUUUAGCUUUACCUAAAUAUGUUAUUUUGAGUAAAGUAUUUUAAAUAAAAAUUUAUUUCAUAAUUUUCUCAUUAAAUAUUUAUUUAUAUUCAUAGCUUUUCCGCACAAAUAUUUAUUUAAAUUUUAAUUAGAUUUGGGUGUCACUGUGCGGUGAUGUUUUUCCACCGUUUCGGUGGUGGUGAGGCCCCACCUGCGUGCACGUUAUAUACUUGAUUAUAUUCAGAUACCUCUUGUAAUUUUUAAAAAAAUAAUCAUAAAAUUAAACCAAAGCAUAUAAAAUUGAAAUUGGCCAAAAAAAUAUAUAAAAAUAAAUAAAAUUAAAAAUGGGAUAUAAAGUGAGACAUUAAAUGUGGUACACUACUGAAUCUCAAUCCAACACGUGGAUGCUACAUUGUACUUGUCGGAAUAUUAGAACUUCUACAAAAUAUUGCUAUUGGAAACGUGAAAUUUUAUUAUGAGAAAACUUAUACCUGACCCCACAGUCGUGGGCACGUGUUAUGUUGCGCGGAAAUUAAAGUGGUGGGGACCGUAAAUGGUAUUUUAGUCUUUUAAUUUAUUUUAGUAUACAAAAGAGUUAAUUUUAAAGAGGCGCUAAAAAACACAUCACUUUUAAAAAUUGGUAUUUAAAAUCUUGAACCCCUUUUAUUAUUUUAGAAAGAUAUUAAUUAAUUGAUAAAUUAAUAAAUUAUUAAUUGAAACAAUUAUUUUAAGCAAAUUUAAUUAUAAUUACCUAAAAAUUUAAAAAACAUAAAUUCAAUACCAUUCAAAUUCAACAAACUAACUUAAAUUUUUACUUUAAAAAAUCUUCAUCAAUCUUGCAAUCUCGGCUUGGACUAUAAAUGUUCAACAAGAGACAAUAACCAAUUUUUCAGACAUUUGUGAACAAAAUGAAGCAUGUUUAGAGAUCCUUAAUAAAGGUGUACGAAAUGAUGGAUAAAUAAGUUUGUGAAAAUUUCACCAUACCUAACCCCACAAUUAUUUGCGAUCGAAUAUCCUCGUCACAGGAAAAAGAGAUGAUGACAAAAGGGAAAAAAAAAUUAACAAAGUAGAAGAUGCAUGACAACUGUCAAGAUAAAUAAUGUUACUAAUUAAAUAAUCCAAACUUUAUACGUUUCAUAUCAUAAGUGGCAGUUCUAUAUUUUUUGCGAAAGUGAACAAAAUAACGAAUAAUUUUUAAAGUAAUAGUAAAAGGAGAUGUGUUUUGACAGAAAACGACAUGAGCGGCCUAAAAAUAAGAGGGAAAAAGAUAAUCAUAUAAAUAUUCAAAAUCAAACGGAUUGGCAUGUAUUCAUCAUUUUUUAUUUUAAUAAUUUAACAGUAUUAAAUCAAGAAAUUUAAAGACCGCGCCCCUUACUGCUUGGCUUUAAGAUUAUGUUACAAUAAUAAAAUUAACAGCACGUUUACAAUAUAAAAUUAAUUAUGAUAAAUGCAAUAUAUUAAUAAUAAAUACUCAAUUACCUCUUAACAUAAUUCGCGCAUCAUGGCUUUUAGCUUAUGUUAUAAAGAUGGAGUAUAAAAUAAUCAUCACCUGUGCAUGAUAUUUCACAAAAUAAUUAAAUAAUAAAAUAAUCAAUCAUAAUGCCAAGACGUGACUCUUGUCGGUCAUAUCUCAUCAACUUUAUCUAUAUAGUACAAUGAUGAUUAAUUUGAGAACGACGAUUAAGACACCAACUAUUCUUGUGGGGACACAUGCAUAUAUAGAAUUAAUAUUAUAAACUCUCUCGGUCCACGAAAUAACUUACUAUUUUUUCUUUUAAGAACGUGAACAAAAAAAAUUCCCAUCGAUAUUUCGGAACUAUACCCCACUACUUUAAAAUACCUCAUUUUACCCUUUCUUUUUCACAAAAACAACAAAUUACUAAUAAUUUUUCACUAUUCCUAAUAUACUGAACAAUUUUUCUCCACUCUCAAAUUUUGUAGCACCGAAUAAAAUUAAAUACUAGUAUUAUUUUUUGUAGAACUAUAAAUAAAUAUUAUUCUCAAAACAUGUACUAUUACUUACUAUUUUUUUUAAAUGUGGGACGACCAAAAAAGGAAAGAUGAAUUCUAAAAGCUGGGACAGAGGAUAUAUUAUUUUUCUUCUUGGUUCUGAAGUAUGAAUAUUAAUUAACAAUUCUUCGUCCACAUCAAGCUCACCUUCACGUAAUUUUUUCUUGAACAACACCGAAAAAUAUAUAAUCCCAACAUAGCAUGAUCAAUCUCAAUGCACCAAACAUAAAUUAGUUUUAAAAUAAUAAUAAGAUUAACUACUAUAUUGCUGAAUUAUGCAGUAGAAUUAAAAGCGUGAUUUUUUUUUAAUAGAGCAGGUUAAUCUAGGCCUACCUGAACCAUCUGACUAUGCAUGAGUUUGAUUUUUCUUCUUGAUCUUUUUUAAUUUUACCGACAAAGAAGAUUUUCACAAAUGAAAAGAAAACGUUCUAGUAACAUACUACAUGCUUACUUCAGAUUUGCAACCAAGUCUAUUGAGGGUUUUAUUUGCUACAUAUAUAAACACAAGGAUUUGGUUUGAUACAAAUUAAGAAUAUUCAACUUUCAUCGGCUCAAGCACAUAGAAUCUCCCCGAGUAGUUAUAACUGGUCAAUGUUUUUGCCGAUAAAAAGGAAAAGGAAAGAAAAAAGAAAGAAGCAAGACGGAGAAAAAGUUGUAGUAAAUGAUUAUGCGAUGAAAAGAAAAUGGAAAAGAGAAAGAAAGAAGAAAGUUGUAGGAAUUUUGAAGAAUUUGUACUUAUUUAGAAUUGUGGUUAUUGUGGGAUCUUGUAUAAUAAUAAUAAUAAUAAUAAUAAUAAUAAUAAUAAUUAUUGGGCCGUUCCACGAAUCUUGGCACAUUUUCAAAUAAGGUAAUAAUUCAUUCUCUCUCUUACUUUAUCACUUUAAUACUUUAUUAACUACAAACUUAAAACACUAAUAUACAAUUCCUUAAUUCCCGUGUCGAAACCAAACGUGUCAAGAUUCGUUGGAUGGAGGGAGUAAUAAUAAUAAUAAUAAUAAUAGUAAUAAUAAUAAUAAUAAUAAUAAUAAUACAUCAUUGCCCUUUAAAAAGUUUUAAAAUAGGAACAUAAUAUGUAAAUCUAAUUUUGUAAAAGAAGCUCUUCUAUAGUAAUAGUUAUAGAUUUGGUGUGGAGGCAUUUGUUUGAGAAUGGGUAAAACAUACCAUUAACCCUUUGAUAUAUGCACGAGACACUUAUUUGUGGAUAGGACAAGAAUUAUUUUGUUGCAUAGGAUCCCUUCCAAAUGUAAUUACUGAUUCACAAUUGGAUUAACAAGAAUUAACUUACUUCAUAUUCAGUAUUCCAACUGUUCGAUAAAAGUUCUUAAUGAAAUCUUCCAUAGAUUACCCAAAUGCAUUGUUUUGCAUAGUCCGUACAUUGAGAUGGUCGAGUAUCUUAUGUCUAGACUUAACGAGAGCAGACUCGAUCGCUUAGUCCUUAUUUAUUUACGACACACACACAUCUCAAAAUCACACAAAUUGACGAAUAAUGUUGCCAGCCAGCUCCUUCCUGUUCCACGCGCCAGCAUUUGUCUUCACCAUGGUGGCUGUGAAAUACCAUGAGAUAAUAUCAUGUUUGGCGACGUAUGGUUGGUUUAGUCCGCUGGCGGCGGAGAGCCCUACCUGAACCUGCUCAGGAAGAAACUCGCCCAAAUUGUACACAUGGCUGACCUCAAACGUCUUCGAGCCGGCGGUGGCACUGACGGUGAUCAUCUUCGUGGCUCCGACGUAGUUGAUCCGCGCAGUCACCUGCUGUCCGACUAUGGCGUCUCCGACAUUCGUCGUGUUGCUGGAUUCCCUAGAUCCGAGGUCGAUGCCGAUGUGGGGAUAGUUCGGAUCCCACGGGCUGUUGAUGAAGGUGUCGAACUCGACGGCGAAGACCGAGGGGCUAUUGCCGUUGGAGCCGAAAAUUCCGAGGUUGGCCCCAACAGCGCCACUGGGGAUGGUGGAGCCGACGGGGGCAAUGAAGAAAGCGAGGCCGUCAGCGGUUUUGCCAUCGGGGCUGGGUGUGAUGAUGAAGUUAAUGGUGGUUUCAAAGUCGACUUGGCCACCGGAUUGGGAGAACUGGACCGGCUUCGAGUACAAGACCCGGCCGACCUGGUAUGUCUCGAAGUCGGUGAGGCGGAGGAAGGUGGAGUCCGAUGGGAAAUGGGCGUGGCCUUGGUAGGUGAGAUCGGUCGGCUGGUCGCCCCAGAAGUCGUAGGUGAAGGACGUUGUUUGGGACCACACCGUGUUGGCAGCGGCGGCAAGGAGAAGGGCGAUGGAGAUUAGGGUUUGUUGAAGGUUGGCCAUCGCUUAAUUGAUUUGGAUGUGGUGGAUGAUGGUGGUAUCUUUAUCUUGCUUCUAUUUAUAGUAGUAUAACGAGCCCUAGUUAAUUAUCUUUAAAUCAUACUAAAAUAUCAUAAAUUAAAAUUGAAGAAAAAAAAGUUAAAACCUACUCUCGCAGUCCCUCAAAUAACUUCUUAGGAGAAGAGGGGUAGGAGUUUUAAGACGAAGUUAAUGUGCAAAGUAAGGAUAAA